This 56348-nucleotide long non-coding RNA is filed under the name Triticum aestivum (bread wheat). Its description in RNAcentral is "long non-coding RNA (TAES_LNC014798)". The record is from RNAcentral. Lineage: Eukaryota; Viridiplantae; Streptophyta; Magnoliopsida; Poales; Poaceae.
CAUUGGACUACAGCUCGCAUGCCUCCCGUUUAGUCAAUCAACUGUCCGCACAACACCUCCUAGCCAUUAAAAGAGUGAGGUGUGGAGUCACGUGAAUGGUUAACAGAACGCACACGAUUUAAAUUAUACAACACGUUUGAGAUGUUAAAGUGGCAGCUAUUUGUUUCAAAAUGCCUUUGUUGGCUGUUAUUCGAGUGUGCAUUCUCUCAAAACGGACACGAAAAAUACCACAGCAUGUCGGGUGCCAUUCCAUGAUAGCAUGCCAAGUUUCAUGAAUUUCAGACGAGUUUUGGAUUUACUAGAAUUUAAAAACAAGGUAUGUCAACAUUUUGCCGAUAAUCAACGGUGCCCUGGUGUUCGAAAUUCAUUCCCAUUUCUUGCAGGGGACCUAAGCAUGCACCCAAGGACACACAUUUGAUAUGUCAACCACUUUUUCUGCAUUGGAGCAUGUGCAUGUAGUUCAAAUUUGAAUUAUGCACAUAAAAUGCCUAGAAAACCUAGUUAAUGUAUAAAAACCUCGUGGCGAAUCCCGAAAAAUCCCCAAAAAUUGAAACAAUGCUCCUGUUGGUCUAUGUUGACACUAGAAAAAUUUUGAAAACAAGAAGAGGCAACGGAUAUCAUUUCAUCCCCACAGGUGGCGCAUUCCCUAUCAAAACUAUCAGGCUUGUUGUGAGAAGCUCUGGUUUGCGAGAAGCUUAUUCCCAAACCUGCCCCAAAUGGGACAAAUUUUUACCACAACAUGUUGAUGCCACUCCAUGAUAGCAUGCCAAGUUUCAUGAAUUUCAGACGAGUCUUGGAUUUACUAGAAUUUAAAAAUGAAGUAUCUCAACAUUCACGGCCGAGCGACAAUGGCAUGGUGCUUGACAUUCAUUCCCAUUUAUUGCAUGUGACCUAAGCAUGCACCCAAGGACACAUAUUUGAUUUUUCAACCAAUUUAUAUCCAUUGGAUCAUGUGCAUGUAGUUCAAAUUUGAAUUAUGCACAUAAAAUGCAUAGAAAAUCCAGUUAAUGUAUGAAACUGUCCAAACGAACCCCAAAAAUUCCAAAAUUUAACACAACACUCCUGUUGUUCUAUGUUGACACUAGAAAAAAAAUUGAAAGCAAGAAGAGGCAAGGGAUAUCAUUUAGUCCCCAAAGAUGGCACGUUCCCUACAAAAACCAUCAGGCUUGUUGUGAGAAGCUCUGGUUUGUGAGAAGCUUAUACCCAAACCUUUCUCAAAUGGGACAAAAAUUUUACCACCGCAUGUUGAUGCCGCUCCAUGAUAGCAUGCCAAGUUUCAUGAAUUUCAGACGAGUUUUGGAUUUACUAGAAUUUAAAAAGCAUGUAUGUUAAUGUUUGCGGGCGAGCGACAGUGGCAAGGUGUUUGAAAUUCACUCCCAUUUCUUGCAUGGGACCUAAGCAUGCAACCAAGGACACAUAUUUGAUUUUUCAACCAAUUUAUAUGCACCACAGUAUGUGCCUGUAGUUUAAAUUUGAAUUAUUCACAUAAAUCCAUUGAAAACUCAGUUAAUGUAUAAAAAUGUCCAAACGAACCUUGCUAAUUUCCAAAAUUUAACACAACACUCCUGUUGUUCUAUGUUGACACUAGAAAAAAAUUGAAAUCAGUAAGAGGCAACGGAUAACAUUCCCUACCAUAACCACGAGGCUUGUUGCGAGCAGCUCUGGUUUAUGAGAAGAUUAUACCCCAACCUUCCCCAAAUGGGACAAUAUUUUUACCACGACAUGUUGAUGUCGUUCCAUGAUAGCAUGUCAAGUUUCAUAAAUUUUAGACACAUUUUCAAUUUACUAGAAUUUAAAAACAAUGUAUAUCAAUGUUAGUGGUCGAGUGACGGUGGCAAGGUGUUUGACAUUCAUUCCCAUUUCUUGCAUGUGACCUAAGAAUGCAACCAAGGACACACAUUUGAUUUUUCAACCCGUUUAUAUGCACUGGAGCAUGUGCAUGUAGUUCAAUUUUGAAUUGUGCACAUAAAUGCCUAGAAAACUCAGUUAAUGUAAAAAAAUGUCCAAGAGAACCUUGAAAAAUCCCAAAAAUUAACACAACACUCCUGUUGUUCUAUGUUGACACCAGAAAAAAAUGAAACAAAGAAGAGGCGACGAAUAUCAUUUUGUCCACAAAGGUGGCACGUUCCCUACGCUACAAAAAAAGACACAUCUAUGAUAUUUUGGGCUUAACAAAAUUUGUCUAUCAUGCUUAUGACUCUUCUAUGACAAUAAUUGUGACAAAACCCGGUAUCAUCAUAGAUGUGGUGGGCGCCUACUUAUAUGAAAAAAAUCAUGACAGAAAAUGGGAUUUUCCUCCUGGGCGGGCCGGAGACACAGCUGCAUGACAUUCUUUGGGCCAUCCAUGACGGAAAAAACCAUGGUAGAAGCGAGGGCGAGCAAAAUUUCAGGGAGUUCUCGGUUACGGUGGGUGGUCGGGGCCGAGUGAUGCACGGAGGUUUGCUCGUUUCUCUCAUACACUACAUGCGUCUGUGCGAGGCGUUGGGCUCUAACUGAACCCGUGCAAGGCGUUCGCUUACUGAACCCAACGGAUUGCACUGGCUACAUGUUACUGAACCCAAACAAUCGAUCGAUCCCUGGCUGUUAACUAGACCCAAUCGAGCGAUUCCUUUGGUAUUGCUACUAAUUGAAGUCGAUCGAACCUGCUGCCUCUUGAUGAGCAGUGAGCGUUGUUUGGGGUUGGAUGAACAGUUCCCGGUGGGGGCUGGAUGAACAAGACCCCGUGUGGAGGGCUGGUUGAAUAGUAAUUGGUGGAGGCUGGAUGAACAGGACCCCAUGGAGGGAUGGUUGAAUAGUAGCCGGUGGAGGAUGGAUAAACAGGAGCCCGUGGAGGAAGGAGGAAGACGCCGUGGAUGAACAAUAGCAAGUGAAGGCUGGAGGAGGUCGAUGAUGGAUGAACAAUAGCCCGUGGAGUCCCAUUUUGCAGCACGCCACACCCCUCCCGAUGAACAGGACCCCGUUUUGAUUGUAGGAGGUCGAAGAGAAGUUUGUUUCCUUCGUUUUGCGGUACUCCACACCCCUCUUGAUCUAUAGGACCCUGUUUCAACCGUAGGAGGUCGAAGAGAAGUCUAUUUCCUCCGUUUUGCGGUAUGCCAGACCCCUCCUGAUGAACAGGAUCCCGUUUCGACCGUAGGCGGUCGAAUAGAAGGCCAUUUCCUCUGUUCCGUAGUACGCCAUGCCUCGUUUCAGCUGUUCCGUCCAAGCCGGUUGGCUCUCAAUGAACAUGACGCAUUCUGUUGCCUCCCGAUGAACACGAUGCAGUUUCUCCAUUCCGACAUAGCCGGUUGGCUGCCGAUGAACAUGACGCCGUUGUUGCCCUCCGCUGCCUCUCCAUGAACAUGAGCCCUGGCCGUACGUAUGCACGAGUAGGCAUUCCAGACCCCACCCGUACAUACGUUAACGUAUUUACUAUCUUGCACCCUUGUUGUACGUAUGUGUACACGAUAUAGACAGGACUGCAUGACAUGCUAUGUCUGCGCCUCUACUAUUACACAUGCCCUUCCUUACUCCUCCACGGUUCAUCGCUGCAGCCUGCAGAUAGACCGAUCGACCAGUAUGUACGUACACGUUCGAGACCAGAUAGACAACCCUACAUACGGUUCGACUAGGUGGGUCCCAGCUGUCAGGGAGGUAAGGAGGCACUUUCUUGCGUGCAAAUAUAUAGCUAAUGGGCCCCAGCUGUCAUGGGGAGAAUCGUAUUUUUUGCCCGUAAUAUGGACACACUUCCUUGCGUGCGAAUAUGUAGUUCGUGGGUCCCAGCAGUCAGGGGGAAAUGUUGUUUUCAUGAAAUACGGUGGAUCCCUGCUAUCAGGUGGAGGAAUAAUUAUUUUGCGCGUAAUAAGGAGGCAUUCCUUGCUGCGGCCGUGGACCAAGCUUUCAGUCUCUCCACAUACAGUCCUCUUCUGAUGGAAGUCGUUCCUUGACCACAUUAACCACGGCGCGCCGAGAGCACCACGUCGGUGGACGACGGUGAGGCCUAGGAUGGGGAUGACGCGAAGCCGGGGAAGAUGUGACAGUGGAUGCCCAUGCGGAGAGGAGUACAAGGGUUGACUGGUUCGGCUGCGGUGUGAGGUUGUCGUCGCCGCAGAAUUACAGGGGUUGUGGGUGAGUAGAGGGAUGGCCUGGCCAGAGGUUAGAGUAGGGUGGGGCAGUGAGGCCUGCAUGGAAGCAGAGCCGGCUAUGGGAGGCAGGAGCAGGCGGCACGAUCGGCGCUGGUUAGGGUGGCUGGAGUAAGAAGACCAGAGGUUGAAGAAGCACUACAGUUGUUGGAUGGACAUCGUACGGUCACUGGAGCUAGAAUCGUUCAUAUUGACUAAGUUGACAAAGCCCUCCAUCCGCGUCAACUUAGUAAACCCACAAGUCAGCCUCCCACUAUGGUGGGUCCUAGCUAGUAGGGGAGUAUUCAUUUUUUUUGUGAGUAAUAAGGAGGCACUUCCUUGCAUGCGAAGAUAUAGCUGGUUGGUCUGAGUUGUCAGUGCGAGGAACGUUUUUUUGCGAAAUACGGAGGCCCUUCCGGUGGGUCCUAGCUAUCAGGUGGAUGAAUCAUUAUUUUGCGUGUAAUAAGGAGGCACUUGCUUGUCUUGGUCCCUACUAUCAGCCUCUCCACUUACAUCCCUCUUCUGAUGGCUAUUGUUUGUUGACAAUGUUGACCACGCCGCGCCGAGAGCAAAAAUGCGAUGGAGGAGGGCGAGGCCCAGGAAGGGAACGACCCGGAGCCGGUGAAGCCACAACAGCGGAUGCCCACGCUAAGGGGAGUACGAGCGCUGACUGGUCGACUGCAGGAUGAGGCUGACGUCGCCGAAAAUAACAGGAUGUGUGGGUGGGUAGAGGGAUGGCCCGGCGGCAGCACAGCCGGCCACAGGAGGAGGGAGUAGGCAGUUGGAUGGACAUCCAACAGUCACUGCUCUGUGUUGACUAUGUUGACAAAGCCUUGCAUACGCGUCAAAUUUGUUUCGUACAGCGUCAUCAUCAACCUAGUAGGCCCAGAAGUCAGCCUCCAAAUCUGUGGAAAAUAGCAUACAGCCCAUUAGCCAUUAUUUUCAAUAAUUUAUAGCCCAUUUGCUAAUUCUUAAGGAUAUUUUAAAGCCCAUAUUCUUUUUAUUAGCAUUACAGACCAUAUUUUGGGCACUGUUAAAAAAUUCAACGAAAUUUUGUGUAUUUUGGUGUGGUCUGAACUCUUUUAAUCACGAAAUUUCGAGUCAUGUUAAAAAUAAUUUUCAAAAAAUAUAUCAAAAAAAAAAUUCCGCAAAAAAUGAAUGAAAUUUAAAAUCUUGACUAGCAAGAUGCUCGUGCAUUGCACGAAACAUCAAGAUGCAUUUGUACGAGUAGUUUAUCUUGUUGGAGAAAAGGAUGAAUGAGGGAAGGCCUUAUCUGCAAAUGGGGAGAGGAGUGCGGUUAAAUUCUCAUAGUUUCCUUCCUAUCCGUUAGAUAUAGAUCGGAUGGCCUAUAUUGCAGGAUGGCACGCACACCAUCAUCACCAACUCUGCUUUGUAUAAGAGUAGAGAAAUCCAGAAAAAAUGAUAUUUGGAUGUAAUUGCCUGUUGGCAUUGUUUUAAAAAUUUACAUCCCACUUCUUACAACUUAUAGCACAUUUUCUGUGGAAGCCCAUUUCUAACUACUUACAUCCCUCCUCAUCUUGAAAGAUUUGCAGCCCAGUAGGGCUGAGAAAAGCAAGUAGGCCUUGGUUGGGUAUUGUCCAAAAAAAGAACUAGGCUAGCCAUUUCAUAAAGAAAAAUAUAUCAACUGGGCUCGUCAUGUGCUUAAAUAAAAGCAUAAGCGUGGGCUAAACGGGCCACAACCCCCACAUAACACGCAGCUGAGCUCCGUCUCUAAAACUAAAAAACAACUGGGCGAGCUGCUGGGUCCCUGGUGUUAUCCGCUCUUUGUGUAAUUUUCUCGUUUUCACAAUGGCGUGGGACCUAGUUAUCAAACAAUUAGGAGGAAGUAUUUUUGGCUUGUAAUAACGAGGCACCUGAUUGCGUAAUGCAAUGACCCUGGUGGGUCCCUACUGUCAGCCUCUCCACGUACAGUCAUCUCCUGAUUCCUCUUGGUUGUUGACCUUGUUGACAAUGCCAGCGGUGGUAGGCACAGCCAGCGAACCAAGGCGGAGAACGACGGCAUGGCCUUGGACAGGAACGAACAGGAGCCGUGGAAGAUGCAGCUAUGUAGUGGCAGGCAAAGGGGAGUACGAGGGCAAUAACAUGUAACUCAAGCUUACAAAUGGUACAAAAAGCCCAAGGAUUAAUUGUUCAUCAAAUUUAGACAAAACCCAGAUUGAACAUGGCAAUAACAUCUAACCCAACCACUCAUUUUUGCAGCCAGAAACAAAUGGAUCAGUCUGAUCCAUAAAAUCAACAUCCUGUGGAAAAAAAUUAUUGGAGGAUGACUACAAGUUAUUGUAGAUAUAAGCCGAGCAUGUUUAGAAGCCCAUUUGUCCACAUGAAACUUCUUUUUUUGCCGUUCAGCAUGUUCGUCCAUGAGAAAUCUCUUGUUGAAAAACAUAAGCCUCAUGGACAAUAGUAACCCUGCAUUCAACAGGAAGAAUGUGACAAAGCUUCUGUUUGCCUGGUUGGAUGCAUAUCCCUCCAUCAUUAUUGUCCUCAAACGAAUGUCAUGAGAACUAAGAGAAUCCUGGUGCUUAUUACGCCACCGAUUGGUUAUAUGUUUUUCUCCAUGUGUUAGGGCAGGGCAACUGGAGUGGAUGAUGCUGUGCAGUGAGGCCUCCGACAGAUAAACCACCACAAGCGAAAGUUUUUUUAGUAAUGGGAGUCGAAGCAUUUGUACCAGAUCGUCUGGUAGAUGGCAGCAGGCGAAGGUGGCGAUGUGCAAAGAGGAGAAAAACCAUGGGAUGGACAACGGUGGUGUGGUCACAAAUUCUUGGUGUUCGGUUUGUGGUAUGAAACUUUCGUGGUAAUGGUAGAACUCAAACUGCUGGAUUUUUUGAAUUUAGGGGAUAUCAGCCAAGCGUCCACCGUGCAGGGUAUGGAAAACAGGUAGCAUGUCGGGAUGUAGAUGCAUUGAACGGGGCCCUUCUGGUGAGACGAGAUGAAUGGCUCUGAGGAGAUCAAAUUUAGGAAGGACAUAUAUCUGACGACGGUCGAGAUUGAGGGGCACGAUGUGCCAUAGAGGGCGCCACCGAGUUGAGAGGACUUGUGUGUGGCGGCAAUCCAUGGUGGGGAGAAGCAAGAUGAUCUCGCCAAGGAUGUCUUCUGGGAGAUUGCUAACGUGGUCCACCAGCGAUUCUACGGGUUCCUUAGAUCUAGGUGGGGGGGCUCACUGCUUCUCCCCGCAUUGCCGGGUAUAGGAUCUACAACCGGCAUCGCCGCUGGCUGGAGCCUCAUCUUCUUGGCGCUAGGGCUAGCCGACUCAAUUUUCCUUGCGGCCGUUGUGCCGAGCUCACGAGUUUGAGCAGAGUAGAUAGAGAUGAGCCUACUGGCAGUGCGAGUGGGGAAGAAGGAGGGCUGGGGUUUUCUGUUGGAGUGGAAGAAGAGGAGCACACGUCUUCUAUACGAGUGAGGAAGAAGGUGAGCGGGGGUUUUCUAUAUGAGUGAGGAAGAUGGGGGGUGGGGGGAAUUGGCGGGCGGACGCGGGAGAGUCCAGCAAGCUACAGUAUAAGUGGAAGUGAGGAGGAAGGAGGGUUUUUCUAGGAUCACCCCCUCUUCAAGAAAUAUGGGCUUCUCCUCGCAAAAAACAAAAACAAAUGGGCUUUAAGAUGGAUAGGCUUUUGUAUCGGCCCAGUCGGCUGCCCGUAUUUCAUACUGGAGGGCCUUAACACUAGAGGCAGACCAUUAGAGACACACUCCAGCUCUCCGACUUUUUGCCCAUUCGAAAGAAAAUAAGAGACGCCUCCAGCUUAAUUAUGGCUCCUCAUCAGUAACAUUUUUCAACUUGAAAAAAAGUUAUAGCUCCUUUUCGAGCCGGCUUGGCAUCCACCAAAUUAGAGGAUGGCGUACUCCAUGCAGACACUCCCAUUGGUCGUAGCACAGCAAAAUGAGGGGUCAAAUAACAUGCCCGCAAUAUACAUAGAUUGUAAAGGUUGACACGCUAACAUUCACACUAAACUAAGCUUCACAAGAUACGGUAUGCAUACUAGCUAACAUUCACAAGCACUUAAGUACAAUAUGUUUAUGCAUCUAAAUGAUUCACAAGACUAUAACCAAGACAAAGCUGUGAGGAUGUGUAGAAAUAAAGAAAAAAUGAUAGAUGCUUCUCUAAGCUGUGAGGUCAAAGUCGUUAGAACAUUCGUAACAAGAUGAUACGAGCUCCGAAAAUGCAAAUAAGAUAUCUGGAUGUUCAGAAAACAUCACCUACAUUUGCAUGUAAUUUUUAUUCAUGAAAAAAUAUUUUUAUACCUUUUUACUUUUAAUAAUAUUAAUAACAUUAAUUACCUCAGGUAGUUUAAAGGGUGAUUUUGUCCUGAAUGCAAAUGAUAUGCACAUACAGGUAAUGUUUAUCUGAACAUUUUGAUAUCUUAUUUGCAUUUUUCUGAGUUCAUAUGAAUUAUUUAUGAAUUUUCAAAGUUUUGGUCAAAUGGUCAAAGGGCAUUCGACGGACCACGACUGAAAAAGUAAGGCCAAAACUGAGCAAGCUCGAAAACUAAGGGCAAAACCCGUGGGUAGGAACCAACUAGGGGUAAAAAUGCAAUUGUCCCAUCAUUUUAUAUUCUGUAUGUGCCAUUGAGGAACAUAGAUUUAUUUAAUACUGACACAUCAAGUCGAACUUUGUUCCGUCUGCGCGUGGUACAUGACCCUCCUUCGAGUAAACAACUGCUACAUGCAUCAAAUUAUCACGUGGGCUGCCUUUUCGUACAAACAUGAACUCCACUGUGUACCCGUGCAGGUGUAGUUGGGAACAAGAUGUGAGUACGUGCGUCAUGCGAGCACCUCUUCUUUAGGUGCAGGUUCAUACGUGGGUUGGUGUGAGAGAGAUGGUUUGUGCGAAACAGAGGCAAUGUGUCGGUGAUAUCUCAAACAAAAAAACAUAACAUUUGCAAUGUGUGUGAAACAGAGUCAUGGAUAUAUCAUAUAUAGAGGGUGUGAUCCACGAGAAGAGAGUGGAGGGAUCAUCAGCGUGAGAUUGAUAGAAUCCAAAAUAAGGAUGAAGUUUGUGGUUGCGCGAUCGAUAAAGAGUGCCAUCGAAUUUGUGUUUGCCCAUGUCAAAGAUACAGGGCGGCUGGCCUACUGGACUUUGAGAGGGCAGAGGUGCAAUUUUUUUCUCUGACCUGAAUACCUACCUACAACGUUCGACUAUCGGUGUGUGGGGGUGGAGGGGGCACAGACCUAACCAUAGAGAGGUAGACCGACUAGUAUAUGUGUGGAGAAGGAGAGAGACCUAGCUAUGUGUUGAGGGAGAUCGAUCGACAUCCAUGCGUAUGUGUAGUAGAGGAAUAAGGUUGGGAGAAAGACAAAGGUAGAGUGUUGGAGGGUUGUUGGUGGAGUUGCUUCUCACAAAUGGUGGGAGAGGCCUGCUAGACAAAUGGAGGUACGAGUGCAAUAUCAAUAAGAGAGGGCCGGGGAUGUCUACCUGUUUAUGCAUGUGCGUGUGAGAGACGGGUCGGGAGGUAUGCAAGGAUGAUGAGGAGGGAUGAUAUUGUUGUGGUAAGCAGACAUAACUACAUAGGAAGAUCAACCAUCGUGUGUCUGAGAAAGGGAGAGACAUAACUAGUGAGGUAAGUCUACCGGUGCGUGGGGAAAAAGAAUUAUAGUCGACCUAGCUAUAUGUAGGGAGAUUGGUACGUAUACAUGCAUGCAUGUUUUAUCAGAAAAUAAGGUCCUUAGAGAUGGACAGGGGAGAGGGGUGUGGCUAGGAGGGUGGUGCGAGAGGCCUACUAUGUCGAGGGGGGAGGAGUGUGCGACUAUGAGAUUGAUGAAAAGAGGGGUGGGAGUGCGCACCUGCAUGGAACCGUAUUAGACAUAGGGGCAUGGACGGUGAGAAGAGAAGAGGGGAAGUGUGUGUUUGUGGUAGGCACACUUGGCUAGAGAGGUAUAUCCACCGGUGUGUGCUGGAAAGAAGGAGCCGGGGGGCCUACACACACUGUGGGUGAACGACCUAAAGAGAAAUAACGAAUGUGCGUCAUGGAGGGGACGUUGAGGGAGGGUGAGAGGGGGGCGGUCGUGUGCAUGCACGAUAGAAAGUUAGCGCUAGCUAGCUACAAAGAGAAGAGGACUGUGAAGGUGUAAAAGACGAACAGAGAUCACAAUUCAUUAUAAAAAAGUGGAUACGAAUAUUUGAAGAAGUUAUCAUAAUGUAGAACAUUGAUUAUAAUUUGGGAUAAUGUGUUCCUUUUGCAGCUCAGGGCUAAAUACUUGUCAUAAUGUUGGGGGCGGGGCACUAUACUUUGUGUGAUAAACACGUUGUACGUAUGGAACAUGGUUUAGAUUAUGAAUAUCUAGAUAGUACAUCAAAUGUAAUAUUAUUUGGAAUCAACAUCAAGUGUGUUCAAAAAAUUGGAUUCGAGUUCAUAUAGUACACAUAGUUCAUAUCUAUCUCUAUAGUAAUCAUGUGGUGUGGUGUUAAGGUAAUACACGAAUGAUGGUUUAAGUUGGCAACAAUCAUGAUUGUAGAUUCUUAUUCAAAUAGAGAAAUGAAUUCAAAUUUAGUUCGAAUUGCAGCGGUAGUAUAGACAUUUGUAAUGCAUUAAAAUGUUGGUAUGAGUAGGUUACAUGCAUUACACAGCCAACGAAAAAAUUUAAUUGGACAUAACAUGGAUUCAUAGCUUUGAAUAGCAUUUGUAUAGUAAACUGGGACACGACUCUCUCUUUGUGUGGUGUGAAUAGUUUUAUUUUUUGUUUUUUUUCGUUGAUGGAAGUGUGAAUUGAUUUGGUACAUACAAGUACAAUAUUACACGUUAGGCUUGUCCCUAAAAUUCAACCCGUGCCUUGUUAUAUCCCAAAAAUUCAAAUAUCGUGCUCGCAAAACUCGCGCCUUCACAACCCGCGCCUUGCUAUCCCAAAAUUACAAUGCACACGAAAACUCCCCCUUCUAACCCUAAGCCGAAAGGGCCGCUAGUUCAUAUCGGUGGGGGUACUUUUCUAACACACCCUACAUUUUGGAUAAGCGCGUCCCUAAGUCAUGGUUCCCCCCUCCCAUCGCCUCCUUUUCGCCAUUCAAAAUCCCAGGCCGCCAUAACCUCUCUGCUCCAGCCGCGAAACCCGACCCUCCUUUGUCUGCCGCCUCACUGCUGCCUAGUCGGAGCCUCUUCUCGGACGAUGUCGUCCACCGCAAUAGCUCGACAUCCCUCAUCCACCUCCUCGGAUGAGGAUCCUCGUCCAUCUCAUCGUCCCACCGGUUCAACCACCCCGUCCUCCACCUCCAAGGAGCUGCUCCGAUGAUCGCCUCGUCUAUCGUGGCUGCUCCAUCCCCACAGCACCGCCUUAACCUGCUCCACGGGAACCGCAACAUCCUCACAGACUCCUGGGACGAAGUCGAGGCCUACUCGGCGCCACCAAAGAGGUUGUACACACAUCGCAUGGCACCUUCUCCUUAACUCGACCUCCCGACACCGACGAUGCUCGAUCCUGCACCCACAUGGCGCGCCUACCUUGAAGCCGGCACCGCGGGCGACAUCUCCUCGGUGGCUCUCCCCCAGUGCGAGGCCCCUUCGGUGGCGGCAGCCAUACCAGCCGGAUCUGCUGCUGAUCCGGCUCUCGCUCGCUCACUCACAUUGCUGCUGCUCCGGCUCUCGCUCGCUCACUCGCGCGGCUGCUGCUCUGGCUCUCGCUCGCUCGCACUGCUGCUGCUCUCCCCCUCGCUCGUGCUGCUGCUCUGCCCCGAUUUAGCUACACUUCAAUCAACUGAAUCGAUUUUUGGGUCAGUCGAAUUUCAGGGGGGGCUCGCCAGAGUUAAGGAAGAACCACCCGCAGCGGGGAGGGGGCUCGACGGAGAGGUACCCCACUAUCUAUCUUAGUGUUCAGGGUGGCGGCGGUGGUGGUCACGGGAGGUGGGGGCGUAGUGGUGGGGCGGUGGCGUGGGGAUCGCUGUAGAGAAAGCUUGGCACAAGGGGCCUAGUUGGCUGGCCGGGGUGGCGGCGGACUGGCGGUGGGGAGUGGUUUCAGGGCGGCGAGGCGGCGCGGGAGUGCCACCGGCCGCGGGCGGCAGGGGCCGGCGGUUCGGCCAGUGGUGGCUUGCGGCUAAGGGGGCUGGUGGUUGAAGAUGAACUGCAAGCCCUCCUUAAACUACAUGUAGAGUGCCUCUCUCCUACCAUUGUGUUUAGUUUCUAUAGUAAGAUUCAGAUUCCACAGUAAAUUUCAGUUUCGAAAGUUAAGUUUAGAGUCAACAGUUUUUACCUCAUCUGUUGUAGUCAGGUGUUUUUUAGUGAUGUAAAUUUUACAUCUAUCCCUUUUUGGUAAUGUAUUUUAGAUCAUCUAUCCCUUUUUGGUAUGUCUUGUACUGCUUCAGCCUCGACUUCUCAUGGCUCGCCGGAGCUGCUCCAACGACGGAACUAUCCAUCACAAUAGAGAAAUGCCCUGGACGCUGUCUACAGAUUCCUCAGAUCUUCCUCCACAACUCCGACAACCACCUACGCCUCAACUUCUUUAGCGACCAAACCAAUGAUGCUGAGGUCGAUACAGCUACUGCAAAGAGGUUGUACACUUGUCGCAUCACUUAUUACUCUACAUUCAUGUCGGUACAUUAGGGCUAUUUCGGUUCAAAGGAAAAACAUAGCAAUAGGAAAUUUUCCUAUGGCACUCUACUAUUCAAUUAUUCAUGCAUUUUGUUGAAAGGAAUGGAGCAAAACAUCCACCUGCACCUACUUGUCAAAAUUAUAUGCAUGAAUACAAGACCAAGUGCAUUAGUGGCAGAAUAACAUUCUAACUGUACACACUUUCAUAUGGUUUCACUUUAAUUUGGCCAUGUUUCUUUCCAUUCCUCUCCUCUUCUAAUUCCUGUGAACCAAACACCCAAGUUGACAGAAAUCCUGUGUUCACAAAUGCUCUGUUUCCCACAUGCAUUCCUAUCAUAUUCUGGUGUUUUUCCUAUCCCUGCGUUUUUAGAAUCCUGCAAGCCAAAGGCGCCCUUACAGAAUUACUUCAGUAACAGGUAGGUGUCUAAGAAAACUUUGUGUGGUUUGUCCUGCUCCCGCCGCGAUGUCGUCCACCUCACUUGAGCUACUCCAUCGACAGAAGCAUCCACCAAACCAGACAUCACGACUCCUCACCAUCUUUCGCCGCCUCAGAUCUCCUUCCCUACCGCCGGCACCCACCGCAACUGCAUCAGCAUCAUCGACUCAACAGAUGAACCUGAGGAGUACACUGGUCCACAAGAGAGGUCGCACUCUUUUGUUUCUACUUACGUUAUGCAUUGCUUAAUCUUACCUGCUACUUUAUCGUCCUGUUCACCUCUUAGACUCCAAGUCUGGUCCAAAUUAAUGUUCAGACCUGAGUUGUAAAAUUACUUUUGAGGCACAUAUCAAAGCAGCUAUGAAUAGUAUCUCUAUCUAUUAUUUGGUUCACCUACGGUAUGCCAAUGUUGUUCAUCUUGGGUGGGAAACAAAUAGUAAAGCAAUCAUCAUCUGUCUUUUUAUUAAAUUAUAGCUAUCAUUAGCCUACUAUCAUUAUUUUUGGAUCCAUCCACUGGUUGUUACCAUCACUCUAGAUUUCUGCAUGCUCUCCUACAUAAUCUCACUAUAUUUUUUUCGUAUGCAUGUCAGAUAUUGUACACAGUCAUGUUGAACAUGUAGAGAAAAAGAGAAGAGUUUUGCACGAUAAUACAAUCUCAUAUAGACAUCGCUCCAUGGUGGGUUCAAUGGCAAACCCUCCCCCCUCUCUAGAUUGUAAUCCAGAUGAAGAUAUCUGUUCUGAGGCGGAUUCAGACGUACCUGACCACUCCUAUUUACCCUCUAAGGUGUUUGCUCUAACUUGGCAUGAUGAUGUUGGUCAUAUCAUGCAUAUGUUGCCCUGCAGUGCCUACUUUUGACAUCAUAUAUGUCAUCUGCUUAGUUUAGACAUGUUCUAUAAUACUACCUAUUUAGUUUCUAUAUCAUAUAUGGGAAUUAUACAGUCUCAUCUAUUUUAGCCAGCCAUAAUAUAUGUGAAAUAUGCAAUGCCAUCCUGUUUAACCAGACAUCAUAUAUUUGAAUGAUAUCUUGCCAAUCCUUUUCUUCAUUACAUUUCCAUUUGUCGACAAUGUUUGUACAUUUGACUACUCUUCCUAUGAAUCAGCCAUUUGAGUGGGUAAUGGAAAAAAUCUGGAGUGAAAACAAGGUCUUGAGAGCAGACAGUGCUACCUGUCGAAGCAGAUCUCUUGUCGGGUCCCGAUAGCUCCUCAGACAUGGAUUCAGGGACAGAUGACCAGUCCUAUUCCCCCACUGAGGUGUAUGCUCUAACUUGGCACAGUUAUACUGCUCAUAUCAUGCAUAUGGUGUCUUGCAUUGCAUAGUUUAGACAUCAUAUACACAAUAUUGAACACCAUGUUCUUAGUUCAGACAUCAUAUAUGCAAAUGCCCUCUGCUUAGCAUAUAAAUCACAUAUGUGAAUUAAAUCAUGCGAUCCUGAUUACUUACAUAACAUGUAUGUGGAUUAUGUCAUGUGAACCUGUUUACUCAGGACAUCAUAUAAUUAUCUCAUGCCAUCCUGUUUAGUUAGACAUCAUAUCUUUGAAUUAUGUCAUGCUAUGCUAUCCUGUUUGGAUAGACAUCAUAUAUGUGCAAUUAUGUCAUGCUAUCCUUUCUAGUUAAACAAUAUACAUGUGAACUAUUUCAUGCCCUCUUUUUUCCACACUAUCUAUUGCAUCUGUCUCUCAUACAAUGUAUGUACAUUCAACUAUGUUUCCUGUUUAUCAACCAUUUGAAUUGGAGCGGGUGAUGGCAGUAUCUAGCGGCCUAAAAACACGGUCUUCAAAUAAAACAGUGCUACCUCUUGGUGGAGGUAGCACCCGGUUGUACAACCAUAGGAACCAGCCCUACCACACAUACUGCAGACCCUCGCAGAUUGUACCCCUGCUGCGAUGGAUAGAGAACCAGCUUCACCCAAUCUAACCCCAAUCCGAGCAGAUAGUAACCCAGUUCCUAUUGACGCAACACCAUCUCCACCAUAGAGCUCCCAAAGAAGAGCGGUUUGUAAGGCAGCUCCAGUGCCCAAAGCGCCAAUACUACCACGGCGAACCCCAACUCCACCAGUUAGUACACCUAUUCCUGUGGAGGAAGCACAACUAGCCAGUCAUAGUUUAGCAUCUCUCGUAUUUGAUGUUGUUAAAUCCUAUGUGCAUAUUUUCCCAUGAUGGAAAUAUUAUAACUAAAGAUGAAGGAAAAUGCCAGUUGCAGGUGUUUGUCCAGGAGUUAUGUGUAAGUAAUGUUAUUCAUGGCAAUUACUUUGCUUUGUCCCAUACAUUCUACCUCCAUGAUUGUUAUAAUGCAGCAAAUUUUACCAUUUUUCUCUAUAGAGAAGGACCGAUUUGGAAACUCAGGAUGAGGUAACCUUUGCUAUCUUCAAGAAUGCUUGGUGGUAGUAUCGUAAUUACCUGAAGAAAACCUACUUUAGUAGCAAAGAAACUCAUCAAAUUCCCUUACAUUCUCCUAAGACACAUUUACUGGACGAUGACUGGGCAUGCCUUAUUCUGUACUGUUCCCGAACCAACAAUGUGGUAAGUUUUAUGAGUUCAUUUUCUAUUUUGAAGUACUAUAUUCUUGCGUCUUACGGUACUCUGUUCAUGUAGAACAAGUGCUUAAACCUAAAGAACAACUAUUCUCAUUUAAGAUUCCAUUGCUAUCGUGCACACUUCUUUGCUCUUGUAUCACUGUAUUUACACAUACAAACUUAUUUUUAAAUUGAAGGAUCCAACCAAAACUCCAAUGGCACAACAAGUAUGUUUACGCAUGUUUCUUUAAAAGGUUUGCUCUUAUAAAUAGCUCUAUUGAUUUCAAUUUCAAUUUGUAUACAGUUGACUUCUAAUAUCAUGCACAUUACUAGCAUCACAAUAGAGCCAAUAGUGUUGUUGUACAUGUAGACCCAUGGUAGCCAUCUGAAAUCAUGUUGUGCCUUGUUGUUUCCCACGCUUUGUAUUCUUUCAGUGGUGCUUUGUCUUGAACUUAUAUGAUUUGAAUCGUGUAUCUAUUUUGAUUUGGCAAGAUAAUGCAGUGACCAUAGGACAUAGAUAUAUGUUUGUUUGAUGCUUUUAUUAUGUACUACUUGGCAAUAGAAGACUUGGUAGUUUAAUCCUGUCCACCUUACUAAUGAACUGGUUCACCGAAAUGAGUUUCAUAUACUAGUACAUGCUAAACCUAUUAUGUGUCUGCUUGUUUCUUCUUUUAGAAUGCUGACAGAAUAUUGGGGAAGAGUGCCUUAUUAAGCAAUGGUAAAGGAAGUAAUGAAGAUAAGGUUCAGGAUAUUGAGACAUCCUUGUUGGUCUCCAACAAAGCUGAUAAAACAGCUAAGGAAAACAAUCUUGAAGACAGUGAGACAACCCCAAAGUCCUGUCUUGGUUUAGUGUUCGAGUUACUAGCCACUACCACGUGCACAAGCUAUUCAAACUCACUGUCUGAAUCAGUUCGGUUUCUUGAGUCUCAACUACAAGUUGGAAGACAUCGAUCAGCUGUGCUGCGACAAGAAGUGGAAGGACUGUGAAAGUCCCGAGAGCAUUCAGAUGCAUACUUUGUGGUGCAACAACAAGCGUUGGAGGAUUUUAGCGCCAAACAUGACAAAACUAAUAAGAUUGCUAAGCUUAUUGCCAGCAUGGUGGAUACCCAUGAUAACGUUUCUUGAGCUCUUCUGAAGUUGUUCAGUUAUGAACUUGUUUUGUUGCCGCGUUUACUUGCACUGGUGGCCAAUUUAGACGGUCGGUAUAUGUAAUAUGCUGCUUUCUUCCCUAUAUUUGCACCGGUGGCGAACUUUGAUGCCCAGUGGAUGUAAUAUGUGUAAUAGUCGUAAUAGCCUUGUGUUAGUUGCUUGCUUAUUUAUUUCCUUAUUGUCUUGGUUAGUUGUUUUCUUGUAGUCAUUGUAGUUCUUUUUCCGCGUUUUUCUAGUGGCCACAAUAACCUAUUUUUGUAACUAGGCCACAAUAACCAUGGCAAGACACAGACUGUUGUGACCAUGGUCCUGCUACCUACUAUAGUGACCAUGGCCCUCCAUGGGUUGUACGACCAUGGGCCUUCUACGGGCCGCAUGAUCCAUGGGCCUUCUAUGGGCCGUAGGAUCCAUGCGCAUUCUACGCGUCAUCUCAUCUAUGGGCCUUCUACGGGCUAUAUAAUCAUUUCGCCAAACAUGGGCCAUACUACUCGUGGACUAAUAACGGACCGCAAAAUGGGCCGUAAAUGGGCUAGGGUGGAACUCGUCUGUUUUAUGGCCCGACCAUAACAGGUCAUUAAUAGGCCGUAAUUGACGAUGCUAUGAAAAGAGACCAAUGGGUUAACAGGCCACAAACUGGCCGACUGUAACCAUGGGUUAAAUUUGGCCCAGAAGUGGAACAGGCCAGUAAUGGACCGUAAGUAAUCAAAUUCUAGAAAUGAGCCCAAGAAUAAAUUGGCCCUUAGAGGCCAAAAGGUAACACGGGCUGGAAACGGCCGACGGACUAAUGGGCCGUUAAUCGGUAUAAAGCAAUACACUGUUCAUUACGGGCCAGUUUCACCACGGGCCGUUAAUGGGCCAAGAGUUACAAAGGGUCUCAUAUGGGCCGAAAGACGUCAUGGGCCAUGUUGGGGGACAUAGUCAUUUCAAAAAAAUUCCUACGCACAUGGAAGAUCAUGGUGAUGCAUAGCAACGAGAGGGGAGAGUGUUGUCCACGUACCCUUGUAGACCGAAAGCGGAAGCGUUAGCACAACGCGGUUGAUGUAGUCAUACGUCUUCACGAUCCGACCGAUCAAGUACCGAACGCACGGCACCUCCGAGUUCAACACACGUUCAGCCCGAUGACGUCCCUCUAACUCCGAUCCAGCCGAGUGUUGAGGGAGAGUUUCGUCAGCACGACGGCGUGGUGACGAUGUUGAUGUUCUACCGACGCAGGGCUUCGCCUAAGCACCACUAUAGUAUUAUCGAGGUGGACUAUGGUGGAGGGGGGCACCGCACACGGCUAAGAGACGAUCAACUUGAUCAACUUGUGUCUAGAGGUGCCCCCUGCCCCUAUAUAUAAAGGAGCAAGGGGGUGCGGCCGGCCAAGGGGAGAGGCGCGCCGGAGGAGUCCUACUCCCACCGGGAGUAGGACUCCCUCCCUUUUCCUAGUUGGAUUACGACUUGGGAGGGGGGAAGAAGGAAAGAGGGGGGCCGACACCCUUUGCCCUAAGCCAAUUCGGUUUGGGCCUUGGGGGGCGCGGCCCACACUUCCCUUGCUUCCCUCCUUUUCCACUAAGGCCCAUGUAGGCACAUUAAGCCCCCGGGGGGUUCCGAUAACCCCCGGUACUCCGGUAAAAUCCUGAUUUCACCCGGAACACUUCCGAUAUCCAAACAUAGGCUUCCAAUAUAUCAAUCUUCAUGUCUUGACCAUUUUGAGACUCCUCGUCAUGUCCGUGAUCACAUCCGGGACUCCGAACAACCUUCGGUACAUCAAAACAUAAAACUCAUAAUAUAACUGUCAUCGUAGCGUUAAGCGUGCGGACCCUACGGGUUCGAGAACUAUGUAGACAUGACAGAGACACGUCUCCGGUCAAUAACCAAUAGGGAACCUGGAUGCUCAUAUUGGCUCCUACAUAUUCUACUAAGAUCUUUAUCGGUCAGACCGCAUAACAACAUACGUUGUUCCCUUUGUCAUCGGUAUGUUACUUGCCCGAGAUUCGAUCGUGGGUAUCUCAAUACCUAGUUCAAUAUCAUUACCGGCAAGUCUAUUUACUCGUUCUGUAAUACAUCAUCCCGCAACUAACUCAUUAGUUGCAAUGCUUGCAAGGCUUAAGUGAUGUGCAUUACUGAGAGGGCCCAGAGAUACCUCUCCGACAAUCGGAGUGACAAAUCCUAAUCUCGAAAUACGCCAACCCAACAAGUACCUUCGGAGACACCUGUAGAGCACCUUUAUAAUCAUCCAGUUACGUUGUGACAUUUGGUAGCACACAAAGUGUUCCUCCGGUAAACGGGAGUGCAUAAUCUCAUAGUCAUAGGAACAUGUAUAAGUCAUGAAGAAAGCAAUAGCAACAAACUAAACGAUCAAGUGCUAAGCUAAUGAAAUGGGUCAAGUCAAUCACAUCAUUCUCCUAAUGAUGUGAUCCCGUUAAUCAAAUGACAACUCAUGUCUAUGGUUGGAAACAAAACCAUCUUUGAUCAACAAGCUAGUCAAGUAGAGGCAUACUAGUGACACUCUGUUUGUCUAUGUAUUCACAUAUGUAUUAUGUUUCCGUUUAAUACAAUUCUAGCAUGAAUAAUAAUCUAGAGUCAAUAAUCUAGUUCACAUAGCCAUGUGAUUUAAUACCAAUAGUUCACAUCACCAUGUGAUUAACACCCAUAGUUCACAUCGACAUGUGACAAACACCCAAAGGGUUUACUAGAGUCAAUAAUCUUGUUAACAUCGCUAUGUGAUUAACCCCCAAAGAGUACUAAGGUGUGAUUAUGUUUUGCUUGUGAGAGAAGUUUAGUCAACGGGUCUGCCAUAUUCAGAUUCAUAAGUAUUUUGCAAAUUUCUAUGUCAACAAUGCUCUGCACGGAGCUACUCAAGCUAAUUUCUUCCACUUUCAAUAUGUAUCCAGAUUGAGAUUUAGAGUCAUAUGGAUCAGUGCAAAAAUUUGCAUUGACGUAACCUUUUACAACGAACCUUUUUGUCACCUCCAUAAUCGAGAAACAUAUCCUUAUUCAACUAAGGAUAAUUUUGACCGCUGUCCAGUGAUCUACUCCUAGAUCACUAUUGUACUCCCUUGCCAAAAUCAGUGUAGGGUAUACAAUAGAUCUGGUACACAACAUGGCAUAUUUUAUAGAACCUAUGGUCAAGGCAUAGGGAAUGACUUUCAUUCUCUUUCUAUCUUCUCCCGUGGUCGGGCUUUGAGUCUUACUCAGUUUCACACCUUGUAACACAAGCAAAGUAUUCUUUCUUUGACUGUUCCAUUUUUGAACUACUUCAAAAUCUUGUCAAGGUAUGUACUCAUUGAAAAACUUAUCAAGCGUCUUGAUCUAUCUCUAUAGAUCUUGAUGCUCAAUAUGUAAGCAGCUUCACCGAGGUCUUUCUUUGAAAAAACUCCUUUCAAACAUUCCUUUAUGCUUUGCAGAAUAAUUCUACAUUAUCUCCGAUCAACAAUAUGUCAUCCACAUAUACUUAUUAGAAAUGCUGUAGUGCUCCCACUCACUUUCUUGUAAAUACAGGCUUCACCACAAGUCUGUAUAAAACUAUAUGCUUUGAUCAACUUAUCAAAGCGUAUAUUCCAACUCCGAUAUGCUUGCACCAGUCCAUAGAUGGAUCACUGGAGCUUGCAUAAUUUGUUAGUACCUUUAGGAUUGACAAAACCUUCUGGUUGCAUCAUAUAAAACUCUUCUUUAAUAAAUCCAUUAAGGAAUACAGUUUUGUUUAUCCAUUUGCCAGAUUUCAUAAAAUGCGGCAAUUGCUAACAUGAUUCGGACAGACUUAAGCAUAGAUACAAGUGAGAAACUCUCAUCGUAGUCAACACCUUGAACUUGUUGAAAACCUUUUUGUGACAAUUCUAGCUUUGUAGAUAGUAACACUACUAUCAGCGUCCGUCUUCCUCUUGAAGAUUCAUUUAAUCUCAGUGGCUCGCCGAUCAAUGGGAAAGUCAAUCAAAGUCCAUACUUUGUUCCCAUACAUGGAUCUCAUCUCAGAUUUCAUGGCCUCAAGCCAUUUCGCAGAAUCUAGGCUCAUCAUCGCUUCCUCAUAGUUCGUAGGCUCGUCAUGGUCAAGUAACAUGACCUCCAGAAUAGGAUUACCGUAACACUCUGGUGCGGAUCUCACUCUGGUUUACCUACGAGGUUCGGUAGUAACUUGAUCUGAAGUUACAUGAUCAUCAUCAUUAGCUUCCUCACUAAUUGGUGUAGUAGUCAUAGGAACAGAUUUCUGUGAUGAACUACUUUCCAAUAAAGGAGCAGGUACAGUUACCUCAUCAAGUUCUACUUUCCUCCCACUCACUUCUUUCGAGGGAAAAUCCUUCUCUAGAAAGGAUCCAUUCUCAACAAUGAAUCUCUUGCCUUCGGUCUGUGAUAGAAGGUGUACCCAACAUUUUCUUUUGGGUAUCCUUUGAAGAUGCACUUCUCCGAUUUGGGUUUGAGCUUAUCAGGUUGAAACUUUUUCACAUAAGCAUUGCAACCUCAAAAUUUAAGAAACGACAGCUUAGGUUUCUUGCCAAACCAUAGUUCAUACGGUGUCGUCUCAACGGAUUUAGAUGGUGCCCUAUUUAAUGUGAAAGUAGCUAUCUCUAAUGCAUAACCCCAAAACGAUAGUGGUAAAUCGGUAAGAGACAUCAUAGAUCGCACCUUAUCUAAUAAAGUACGGUUACGACGUUCGGACACACCAUUACAUUGUGGUUUUCCAGGUGGCGUGAGUAGUGAAACUCUUUCACAUUGUUUUAACUGAAGGCCAAACUCGUAACUCUAAUAUUUUACUUCUGCGAUCAUAUCGUAGAAACUUCUACUUUUGUUAUGAUGAUUCUCCACUUCACUCUGAAACUCUUUGAACUUUUCAAAUGUUUCAGACUUGUGUUUCAUCAAGUAGAUAUACUCAUAUCUGCUCAAAUUAUUUGUGAAGAUCAGAAAAUAAUGAUACCUGCCGCGAGCCUGAAUAUUCAUCAGACCACAUACAUCAGUAUGUAUGAUUUCCAACAAAUCUGUUGCUCGCUCCAUUGUUCCGGAGAACGGAGUCUUAGUCAUCUUGCCCAUGAGGCAUGGUUCGCAAGCAUCAACUGAUUCAUAAUCAAGUGAUUCCAAAAGCCCAUCAGCAUGGAUUUUCUUCAUGCGCUUUACACCAAUAUGACCUAAAUGGCAGUGCCACAAAUAAGUUGCACUAUCGUUAUUAACUUUGCAUCUUUUGGCUUCAAUAUUAUAAAAUGUGUAUCACCACGAUCGAGAUCCAACAAACCAUUUUCAUUGGGUGUAUGACCAUAGAAGGUUUUAUUCAUGUAAAUAGAACAACAAUUAUUCUCUAACUUACAUGAAUAACUGUAUUGCAAUAAAUAUGAUCCGAUCAUAUUCAUGCUCAACGCAAACACUAAAUAACAUUUAUUUUAGGUUUAACACUAAUCCCGAAAGUAUAGGGAGUGCGCAAUGAUGAUCAUAUCAAUCUUGGAACCAUUUCCAAUACACAUCGUCACUUCACCCUCAACUAGUCUAUGUUCAUUCUGCAACUCCCAUUUCGAGUUACUAUUCUUAGAAACUGAACUAGUAUCAAAUACUGAGGGGUUGCUAUAAACACUAGUAAAGUACACAUCAAUAACAUGUAUAUAUCAAAUAUACAUAUGUUCACUUUGCCAUCCUUCUUAUCCGCCAAUUAUUUGGGGUAGUUCCGCUUCCAGUGACCAGUCCCUUUGCAGUAGAAGCACUCAGUUUCAGGCUUAGGUCCAGACUUGGGUUUUUUCACUUGAGAAGCAACUUGCGUGCCAUUCUUCUUGAAGUUCCCCUUUCUUCCCUUUGUCCCUUUUCUUGAAAAUAGUAGUUUUGUUUACCAUCAACACUUGAUGCUUUUUUUGAUUUCUACCUUCGUCGAUUUCAGCAUCACGAAGAGCUUGGGAAUCGUUUCUGUUAUCCCUUGCAUAUUAUAGUUCAUCACGAAGUUCUACUAACUUGGUGAUGGUGACUAGAGAAUUCUGUCAAUCACUAUUUUAUCUGGAAGAUUAACUCCCACUUGAUUCAAGCGAUUGUAGUACCAAGACAAUCUGAGCACAUGCUCACUGCUUGAGCUAUUCUCCUCCAUCUUUUAGCUAUAGAACUUGUUGGAGACUUCAUAUCUCUCAACUCGGGUAUUUGCUUGAAAUAUUAACUUCAACUCCUGGAACAUCUCAUAUGGUCCAUGACAUUCAAAAGGUCUUUGAAGUCCCGAUUCUAAGACGUUUAAGCAUGGUGCACUAAACUAUCAAGUAGUCAUCAUAUUGAGCUAGCCUAACAUUCAUAACAUCUACAUCUGCUCCUGCAAUUGGUUUGUCACCUAGCGGUGCAUCAAGAACAUAAUUCUUCUGUGCAGCAAUGAGGAUAAACCUCAGAUCAUGGAUCCAAUCCACAUCAUUGCUACUAACACCUUUCAACUUAGUUUUCUCUAGGAACAUAUCAAAAUUAAAAUAGGGGAGCUAAACGCGAGCUCUUGAUCUACAACAUAGAUAUGCUAAUACUACCAGGACUAAGUUCAUGAUAAAUUUAAGUUCAAUUAAUCAUAUUACUUAAGAACUCCCACUUAGAUAGACAUCCCUCUAAUCCUCUAAGUGAUCACGUGAUCCAUAUCAACUAAACCAUGUCCGAUCAUCACGUGAGAUGGAGUAGUUUCAAUGGUGAACAUCACUAUGUUGAUCAUAUCUACUAUAUGAUUCACGCUCGACCUUUCGGUCUCAGUGUUCCGAGGCCAUAUCUGUUAUAUGCUAGGCUCAUCAAGUUUGACCUGAGUAUUCCGCGUGUGCAACUGUUUUGCACCCGUUGUAUUUGAACGUAGAGCCUAUCACACCCGAUCAUCAUGUGGUGUCUUAGCAUGAAGAACUUUCACAAUAGUGCAUACUCAGGGAGAACACUUGUACCUUGACAAUUAGUGAGAGAUCAUCUUAUAAAGCUACCAUCGAACUAAGCAAAAUAAGAUGUAUAAAAGAUAAACAUCACAUGCAAUAAAAAUAUGUGACAUGAUAUGGCCAUCAUCAUCUUGUGCCUUUGAUGUCCAUCUCAAAAGCUUCGUCAUGAUUUCCAUCAUCACCAGCAUGACACCAUGAUCUCCAUCAUCUUGAUCUAUAUCAAUGUGUCGUCACAUGGUCGUCUCGCCAACUAUUGCUCUUGCAACUAUUGCUAUCGCAUAGCGAUAAAGUAAAGCAAUUAUUUGGCGCUUGCAUCUUAUGCAAUAAAGAGACAAUCAUAAGGCUUCUGCCAGUUGCCGAUAACUUCAACAAAACAUGAUCAUCUUAUACAACAACUUAUAUCUCAUCACGUCUUGACCAUAUCACAUCACAACAUGCCCUGCAAAAACAAGUUAGACGUCCUCUACUUUGUUGUUGCAAAUUUUACGUGGCUGCUAUGGGCUUAGCAAGAACCAUUCGUACCUACGCAUCAAAACCACAACGAUUGUUUAUCAAGUUGGUGCUGUUUUAACCUUCUCAAUGACCGGGCGUAGCCACACUCGGUUCAACUAAAGUUGGAGAAACUGACACCCGCUAGUCACCUGUGUGCAUAGCACGGCGGUAAAACCAGUCUCGCGUAAGCAUACGCGUAAUGUCGGUCCGGGCCGCUUCAUCCAACAAUACCGCCGAACCAAAGUGUGACAUGCUGGUAAGCAGUAUGACUUAUAUCGCCCACAACUCACUUGUGUUCUACUCGUGCAUAUUACAUCAACGCAUAAAACCUGGCUCGGAUGCCACUGUUGGGGAACGUAGUAAUUUAAAAACAAAUUCCUACGCACACGCAAGAUCAUGCUGAUGCAUAGCAAUGAGAGGGGAGAGUGUUGUCCACGUACCCUCGUAGACCGAAAGCGGAAGCGUUAGCACAAUGCGGUUGAUGUAGUCGUACUUCUUCACGAUCCGACCGAUCAAGUACCGAACGCACGACACCUCCGUGUUCAGCACACGUUUAGCCUGAUGACGUCCCUCUAACUCCGAUCCAGCCGAGUGUUGAGGCAGAGUUUCGUCAGCACGACGGCGUGGUGACGAUGUUGAUGUUCUACCGACGCAGGGCUUCGCCUAAGCACCACUACAGUAUUAUCGAGGUGGACUAUGGUGGAGGGGGCACCGCACACGGCUAAGAGACGAUCAACUUGAUCAACUUGUGUCUAGAGGUUCCCCCUACCCAUGUAUAUAAAGGAGCAAGGGGGGUGCGGCCGGCAAAGGGGAGAGGCGCGUCGGAGGAGUCCUACUCCCACCAGGAGUAGGACUCCCCCCCUUUUCCUAGUUGGAUUAGGACUUGGGAGGGGGGAAGAAGGAAAGAGGGGGGGCUGGCCCCCUUUGCCCUAAACCAAUUCGGUUUGGGCCUUGGGGGACACGCCCCACACUUCCCUUGCUUCCCUCCUUUUCCACUAAGGCCCAUGUAGGCCCAUUAAGCCCCCGGGGGGUUCCGGUAACCCCCCGGUACUCCGGUAAAAUCCCGAUUUCACCCGGAACACUUCCGAUAUCCAAACAUAGGCUUACAAUAUAUCAAUCUUCAUGUGUCGACCAUUUCGAGACUCCUUGUCAUGUCCGUGAUCACAUCCGGGACUCCGAACAACCUUUAGUACAUCAAAACAUAAAACUCAUAAUAUAAUUAUCAUCGUAGCGUUAAGCGUGCGGACCCUAUGGGUUCGAGAACUAUGUAGACAUGACUGAGACACGUCUCCGGUCAAUGACCAAUAGAGGAACCUGCAUGCUCAUAUGGGCUCCUACAUAUUCUAUGAAGAUCUUUAUCGGUCAGACCCCAUAACAUCAUAUGUUGUUCCCUUUGUCAUCGGUAUGUUACUUGCCCGAGAUUCGAUCGUUGGUAUCUCACUACCUAGUUCAAUCUCGUUACCGGCAAGUCUCUUUACUCGUUCCGUAAUACAUCAUCCCGCAACUAACUCAUUAGUUGCAAUGCUUGCAAGGCUUAAGUGAUGUGCAUUACCGAGAGGGCCUAGAGAUACCUCUCCGACAAUCGGAGUGACAAAUCCUAAUCUCAAAAUACGCCAACCCAACAAGUACCUUCGGAGACAACUAUAGAGCACCUUUAUAAUCACCCAUUUACAUUGUGACGUUUAUUAGCACACAGAGUGUUCCUCCAGUAAACGGGAGUUGCAUAAUCUCAUAGUCAUAGGAACAUGUAUAAGUCAUAAAGAAAGCAAUAGCAACAAACUAAAUGAUCAACUGCUAAGCUAAUGAAAUGGGUCAAGUCAAUCAAAUCAUUCUCCUAAUGAUGUGAUCCCGUUAAUCAAAUGACAACUCAUGUCUAUGGUUAGGAAACGUAACCAUCUUUGAUCAACGAGCUAGUCAAGUAGAGGCAUACUAGUGACACUCUGUUUGUCUAUGUAUUCACACAUGUAUUACGUUUCUGGUUAAUACAAUUAUAGCAUGAAUAAUAAACAUUUAUCAUGAUAUAAGGAAAUAAAUAAUAACUUUAUUAUUGCCUCUACGGCAUAUUUCAUUCAGGACAUACAUGGGCCGGAAGUUACAAUAGGCUGGAAUCAUAUUGGACGGCCCAGAUGACGCUACUAGUGAGCGAGUCCUGGGUUAAGGGGUCCCCGGGUGUCCGGGCUAUGUGAUAUGGGCUUGACUGAUGGGCCCUGAAGAUACAAGGCAGAAGACCUUCCCCCGUGUUCGUGUACGACUCUCUUAUGCGUGGAUGGCAAGAUUGGUGUCCGGAUAUGUAAUUUCCUUCCUCUACAAACCGACUCUAUACAACCCUAUGCCCCUUCGGUGUGUCUAUAAAUUAGAGGGUUUAGUCCAUAGAGGCUAUCAGAAUUAAUAGAGGCUAGACAACUAGGGUUUAGCCAUUAUGAUCUCGAGGUAGAUCAACUCUUGUAACCCCUACACUUAUCAAAUACAAUUAAGAGGGCCCGAACCUGGGUAAAUAUCGUGUUUCCCCUAUCCCUUGUUACCUUUGAUCCUCAGACGCACUGUUUGGUACCCCCUACCUAAGAUCGGCCGGUUUUGACAUCCACAACUCGGCCUAAUUUGGAUAAGCCGUCACGGGCCGUGACUUACCGGGCUGUAAAUGGGCUAUAUGCGAACAGGUCAUUAACAAGCUUUCCGUGGGACGGCCCGCUACCUUUUGACCAAGUCAAAUGGGUCAGCCUUUUCUCCGGAAUGGGUCUCUGUUGGGCCGUGCCACAUGUCGAUGUAUCAUAGGCGCAUUCGGCCCAAUGAGUGGAUCACAUAUGUCCCAACGGUGAGCUGACAUGUGGUUCCUCUGGCCAUUCAGAAUUUUACAUGUGGAAAAUCCCCAUUGGUCUGGGCUGUUAACGGGUUAUCGGAUCGAAACCAGAACCCGAUAGCUUAACGGUGACCCAUUACGGUGGAUGCAUGUGUCAGUUACCCUUGACAAAAGCAAUUCAAUGGUGCAUGAUUUAUCUUCACGGAAGUGGACACUUCCGUGAUGAUAAUUUUGGUAAUGUCAUGGAACACUUCAAUGAUAGCACAGGUAUAACUAUCCUGAUUCUGUCAUAAAAUCAUCAUGGAUGUACAUGCAUGAUAGAAAACAUGACGUACUGUGACAAACACAUAUCAUCACGGAAGUGUAUUUUUUUGUAGUGUCUUGAGCUUGCAUGCAAAAUUUAUAUGGUCCAGAGUAGUUUUGAUGCAUGAUAUAGCCUCUAGGCACCUGUAGGAUUAGUUGCUAUCAAUUUUGUUGAGUUUGGUUCACUUUUAUUCUGAGUCACUAAAAAUUUCAGAAAUUUUUCAGAGGAAGAAAAAUGUACCAAGGUGGUUCUUCAAGGAAGCAAGCACCGAGGCUCAAGAUACGCGAGCCAGACCUUGAACAACCAUGGGAAGAUCAAGUGCGGCCUUGUGAAUGGCCGUUAGAUGAAUUUAUGGUCCAUGCAGGUUUCAAGGAUGAGUUUGAUGCAUACGUACAAAAUACCGGCCUUGAGGACUUCGUGUUAGAAAAGUGCCGACAAUACUAUUAUCUCACCGAUUCCUUUGUGCGGAGGUUUGAAUUUUCAUCUAAGUGCAAUAUGCAUAUUGUUUUAUUUGAUCUUUAUGAUAAAUCAUAUACCAUGGAACUUGAGGAUUUUAAUACUGCUUGCAAAAUCCCACAAUGGGGCCUUCUUAGUGAGCCUCACAAAGCUGAAUACAAUGAUUUCCUUGCUAGCAUCACUGUGGGAGAAACUAGAAACAUCACACAAGCUACCAUAGGGAGCAUUCACUUUCCUUCCAUACAUUAUUUUUCUCUCUUUAUAGGUAGAUGCAUUAACGGUAAGCAUGAGCAUUGCCACCUUUGCGUUCUAGAUCUUAGUGUCAUCAAGUGUGUGGUGUUAGGUGAUAAGCGAUAUAACUUGGGGGCCAUUAUUGCAAGGAGGUUACAUCUUAAUGCUAAAGAUGGAGAUUUAUUUGGUGGGAUUUAUGCAAAUAGUUUAGCUAAUUAUCUUGGUCUACCCAUAAGAGGGAAUGACAUUGAGUUGACACCUACUUUUCUAGAUUAUAAUGCUAUGGUAUGCUACCAGUUUCUUGAGAGGAACGAACAUUCCCUCCAGUAUCGACUAAUCUUUGACAGACGGCAUGCUAUCCAUAUUACCCUUCCUACUCCUGCCUUCUUUAACUUUCAGGCGAAUGGGAGAUAUUUUAUAACUAGAGAGGAGGCGAACGAGUAUGAGAGAGCAGCGGAGGCCGCUCGCUCCAAGAAGAAGCUCACCAAGGGGUAGCUGCCGCAACAUAGUACAACCCCAACUAUGAUUGCGGAUAUAAUCCGGGUCAGUCGUGGCCCUAGAGCACCUUAGGCCAAAAGCCUAAGCUUGGGGGGGGACGUAUUUCUCAUCAACAUUACAUUCAUGUUCACACACUCAUUUUAGUUUUCGGUGUUCAUACUUUUUCAUUGUAUAUCCAUGCUAGUUUACUAUCUUUUUCUCGCUUUUUUCUUGUGUGUUUGAAAAACUUUGAGAAAAACCAAAAAAAAUUAUGUAGUUUCUUUUCAAUGUUCACUUAGUGGUAGUAUUAAAAUAAAACCCAAAAACAUUUCUCAUUCUUCUUUUGCUUGUUGGGACCUUUCCCAUGUAAAUAGUUUUUCUCGUUCUUGUUUUACUUUCUUCAGAAAAACAAAAACUCCAAAAACAUUUUAGUGUGUUUCUUUUAAAUUCUUCUCUUUUCUUUGGGGGUCGAGAGGAGAAUACCACGAUGAAAAUGUUGAGUGGCUCUCAUAUGCAUUAUUGUUGAUCUAACAAAGAGCCCAUAUUACCUUGUCUUCUCCUUUGAAUAAAUGUUUGCAGAUUACAUCUUAGUCCAAUGCACAUUCACUAUUAUUAUUAUCCACAGCGUUCGGUCGUGCAAGUGAAAGGCAAUAAUGAUGAUAUAUGAUGAAAUGAUCGAGAUGUGGAAAUGCUGGUAUGAACUCGACCUAUCUUGCUUUUGUAAAUAUGAUUAGUUCAUCGUUCCUGAUUCAGCCUAUUAUGAAUGAAACAUGUUUGCAAUGACAAUUAGAGAUUAUAGUUGCUCAUGCCAUGCUUAAUUAGCUAGGAGUUUAUAAUGGUUUACCUUGCAUGGCAACAUGCUUUUAAAAUGAUUGUGAUGUAGUAUGAUAGGAUGGUAUCCUCCUUUGAAUUACUUGAGUGGCUUGACUUGGCACAUGUUUACACAUGUAGUUGAAACAAAAUCAACAUAGCCUCCAUGAUAUUUAUGUUCAUGGUGAUUUAUAUCCUACUCAUGCUUGCACUCAAUGUUGGUUAACCUCAAUGCAUGUUUAUGACUAUUGUUGCUCUCUAAUUGGUCGCUCCCCAGUCUUUUUCUAUCCUUCACUUGUACUAAGCGGGAAUACUACUUGUGCAUCCACUUCCAUAAACCAAAAGUUGUCCCAUAUGAGUCCACCAUACCUUCUUAUAUGCGGUAUUUACCUGCCGUUCCAAGUAAAUUUGCAUGUGCCAACCUCUAAACCUUCAAAUGAUAAUCUAUUUGGUAUGCCUGAAUUGCUCAUGUGGCGACUAGGGGCUGUCAGUAUCUUGCAUGCUAGGUGGGUUAUUCUCACGGUGAGUGGACUCCGCUCAUCAUUCGCGAGAGAAGGGCUGGUAACCGGGAUUCCCAGUCCCAUGCUGAAAUCAAAUCAAAAUUUAAUUGCAAACAAAACUCCCCCAGUAUUGUUGUUAGUUGGACGAUACCCAUUUUUCCGGGCCAGCCAUGGAAUGUGCUUGUUGGUGGUGGGGGAGUAUAAACUUUACCAUUCUAUUUGGGAACUGCCUAUAAUGUAUCUAGUAUUGAAGACACCGAGAUCUCUUGAAUAUUAUGUUGACAACAUCAUCCUCUUAUAAAAAUCAUCAAUUCGAGAGCACCACUGUCAUUUGUAUGCAUUGCUAUUAAUUUAUAUUGAGUAUGACUGUGACUGGAUCUCUUUUACCAUGAAUUACAAUGCCUAGUUGGUGCUCUGCAUUUAUGUUUUGCGGUCUCAGAAAGGGCUGGCGAGAAACCAUCUUGUUAUAUCAUAUCAUGAUUGUUUUGAAAAAGUGUUGUCAUCCGAGAUUUAUUAUUAUUGCUCAGUUGAAUAUGCCACUGAUAUGAGUAAAUGUCAGACCUAAAUAUUAUUUUGAAUAUGGUUACUUCAUACUCUUUGGUGAAAACUUGAAUGCCGACUUUACAUAUUUGCAACGAUAAGAUCAAACAAAUUUUGUUAAAGUUUUUCUUUAUCACCUUCAGUUUGUUAACUGAAUUGAUUGAGGACAAGCAAUGGGUUAAGCAUGGGGGAGUUGAUACGUCUCCAUCAUAUCUACUUUUCCAAACUCUUUUGCCCUUGUUUUGGACUCUAAUUUGCAUGAUUUGAAUGGAACUAACCCGAACAGACGUUGUUUUCAGCAGAAUUGCCGCGGUGUUAUUUUUGUGCAGAAAUAAAAGUUCUCGAAAUGAUCUAAAAAUCCACGGAGAAUAUUUUUGGAAUGUACAAAAAAUAUUGUCAAAAGAAUCAACAGAAGGGAACCCACCGGCUAUCCACAAGAGUGGAGGGCGCGCCCCUGUCUUGUGGGUCCCAAGAAGCUCCACUAAUCUCAACUCAAACUCCAUAUAUUCACAUUCGGGGAGAAAAAAUCAGAGAGAAGGAUUCAUCGCGUAUUAUGAUAUGGAGCUGUCGCCACCUCCUGUUCUUCCUGGGGAGGCCAGAUCUAGAGUCCGUUUUGGGCUUCGGGGAGGGGAAAUCGUUACCAUCAUCAUCAUCAACCAUCCUCCAUCACCAAUUUCAUGAUGCCCAGGGUUGUGCGUGAGUAAUCCCAUCGUAGUCUUGCUGGAUGGUGAUGGGUUGGAUGAGAUUUACCAUGUAAUUGAGUUAGUUUUGUUAGGGUUUGAUCCCUAGUAUCUACUAUGUUCUAAGAUUGAUGUUGCUAUGACUUUGCCAUGCUUAAUGCUUGUCACUAGGGCCCAAGUGCCAUGAUUUCAGAUAUGAACCUAUUAUGUUUUCAUGAAUAUAUUUGUGUUCUUGAUCCUAUCUUGCAAGUUAUAGUCACCUACUACGUGUUAUGAUCCAACAACCCCGGAGUGACAAUAGUUGGGACACUUCCCGUUGAUGACAGUAGUUUGAGGAGUUCAUGUAUUCACUAAGUGCUAAUGCUUUGGUACGGUUUUCUAAUAAAAGGAGGCCUUAAUAUCCCUUAAUAAUAGGACCCCACUGCCACGGGAGGGUAGGACAAAAGAUGUCAUGCAAGUUCUUUUCCAUAAGCACGUAUGACUAUAUUCGGAAUACAUGCCUACAUUAUAUUGAUGAAUUGGAGCUAGUUCUAUGUCACCCUAGGUUAUAACGGUUGCAUGAUGAAUGCCAUCCAACAUAAUUAUCCAUCAUUGAUCCAUUGCCUACAAGUUCGUGUCAUAUUGUUCUUUGCUUCGUUACUUUUCCGUUGCCACUGUUACGAUUGCUGCAAAACUACUAAUGUUACUUUUGCCACUGUUAUCGUUACUUCCAUACUACUUUGCUACUAAAUAUUUUGUUGUAGAUAUUAAGUCUUUCAGGUGUGGUUGAAUUGACAACUCAGCUGAUAAUACUUGAGAAUAUUCUUUGGCUCCCCUUGUGUCAAAUCAAUAAAUUUGGGUUGAAUACUCUACCCUUCACUACUAGGGAAAAGCCUAGCAGUAGCGCGGGUUUUUGGCCUACUAGUAGCACGGGUGACGGCGCUACUGCUACGACACUACAGCUAAAGGUUAGCGGUAGCGUUGGUUUACCCGCGCUACUUCUAUAUCCUCUUAGUAGUAGCGCUUCCUGCAAAAGGCGGUACUAGUAAUUACUAGUAGCGCGUCUCAUUGCCCGCGCUACUACUAUUACUUCAUAUUCUAUUUCUUUUUAUUUUAUGUCGUUUUCAUACACCUUUAUACAAGUUUUCAUACAGUACCAAUUUGUAGAUUGUUUUACAUCAUAAUGAGUUAUUACAUCACUGGGUGAAAGAACCGUGGACUAGUUUCAAGUGGUUGGACAUCCACUUGAAACUAAUCUGCAUUUCUUUCACCCAAUGAUAUAAUAAAUAUCAUCCUCAUCAUCAUCAUCAUCAUAUCAUUAACAACUUAUCAUCAUAAUACAACAUUGUCAUAUAACACCUCCUCAUGAUAAUCAUUUUCAUCAAUGAGACAUCAUAUAGCAAGUUGGUCACUAGUCAUAAUCACAACUCCUCCUCAUCAUCAUCAACUCUAACACAUUGUAGCACAUAAUAACACAUUGUACCUAGGACCUACUUCUCUCUCAUAGGACAUACUACCCUCUCUUAGGUAAAGUAAUACAAAACAAGAUAGGCCCUGACUCUCCAUUAUGUAGAAUGGAGAUUAUCAUGUCUCCUAUUCUUGCGCUUGACACAAUGUUGUUUCCAACUAGCUCCCUACCAUUGACCAUACAUUUUUUCUAAUCUUUGAUUGUCAUGUCUUCAUCAGUUUUAGAAAUCCGGUAUGAACAGGAGUGAUUCGUAGAAUGACCUGGCCGUAAGUUCAAAACAUCAAGGCAAGCUUUCGGAAACAUCAGAUGAGGCACAAAAUCCUUCGGGAUUUUCUGUUGAAAAACAUAGUAAUAACUUUGUAGUUAGCAAUGUAGUUGAGUUUAAGAAGAAAUUAUGCAAAAGAUGCAUGAAUGUCGUAAUAGUAAAAAAUCUUAUCAUGACAUCUCCAUGGAUGUUACUGUAGUUCAACACGUGCACUAGUUGCACGUAUUGACCAUAAUGUGGAGGAGUUUUAUAAUAGAUAUUGUAAUUCUCAAGAUCGGUAAUAAAUGAGAUCAGAUGAUUUUUCGCCUGAUAAGUUAAUUCUGAGCCAUCGGUGUAGUAGGUUAUGUCUACCAUCUUCCGCACAUUCUUUGAAGAAUGAAAAUAAGUUGUCAACUAUUUUGAAAUAAACAAUAUAAAUUACUUAAUAACUAUGUUUGAGAAACUCACAUAGCGGUAGAAUUGGAAGCGUAUCAACAAGGACCCAAAUGUCCAUAUUGUCUUGGGCGAUGUCAGGAUCACCAAGAUCCACGGUGACAAGCAUAACCUCAUGAAAAUCAUACAUCUUGCAAAGUGCUUCCCAAUUCGGGCAACCAAAAUGGGAUACGCUCUCAGAAUUGUGUAGAUUUACAUCAAAAUCCAUACCAUGAUGGGUCCUUAGGUGAAUUAUCUUUGUUUCCAUAAUCUCAUGAUCUUCAAAAUCCAUGCUCUCCAAGACAUAGCAUCUUGCACGGCAUGGGACAAGCUAGUCGACUUGUAAAAGACGAAAAUUACACGUUGAAGUAGCAGAAGUCAUGCUUAGUUAUGAAUAAAACACUUGUCAUCGUUGUGUACCAUUUCAACAUCAAAGGUCUCCUGGAGCUUAAUUUUGAAGAGCCGACCUUCGUCCAGGUGAGGCCUGUCGCAUAGACCCUAGUCGUCGCCGCACUAGUCGCACUCCCCCGGGAGACUUUCGUCGUCCGACUACGACAUUUCCUAGGUUCAUAAUUCAAAGAUUAAACUUGUACAAUUAAAUAUAUGUACUACAAAACUAAAUUAGAUCAUUAUUAUUCAUCACGGGUUGACUAUUGGUCUGCCAGUCUUUUCUUGAGAACUCUCAGCCCACGUGGUGUAUAUAUUCGACCAUCGGUGAUGGUAACUACUUCUGUCAUUCCAAAGACCAUUGCACCAAAAUGUCUAGCACCUUGGAAUGAAGAAGAAGCUACCAACAUGACAACAGUCAACAUUCUUCUUCUCUCAUAUAUAUGGUGGAGUCCCGACAGACUUGGUGUGUACAUUCCACCGUUGGUGAUGGUGGCUCCUCCUUUCGUCCCCAAGUGCAUUACACUAAAAUGUCUAGCACAGGGGAACGAAGGAGAAAUGACCGCCAUGACAACAGUUGGGAUUCUUCGUCCUCUCUCAUAUAUGGUGGACACACUCUCUCACUGAUUUUUCGACCGUCGGUGAUGGUCGUCAUUCAUCCUUCCCCUAGUGCAAAACAAAGAUCUAGCACAAGGAGAAGAAGGAAAAACGACCCCCACAACAACAAUCGGGAUUCUUCUUCUCUCAUAUAUGGUGCAGACUUUCUCCCUCACUCAUUUGUUGAUUAUCAUGUAUGGAGCCUUGACAGACUUAAAGUCAACCUGAAAUGUCAUUUAAUUAUGUUUCUAGAAAAUCCAAGCCACUCAAUAUUUCCUACAUUUUCUAGCACAAGUCAUGCCAAAAUUCAUGGAAAAAUCCGGCAUGACCUUUGCUAAAAAAGGACAUAUCGAUGGCCUGAAAUUUGCCAGAACGGAAAUUAAUCAACACUCCGGCAAAACAUAGGCCACUCGGAGGUGUAACCUGCAAAGAUGGCCGUCCACUUGGGCAAGCACAUAUCCUAUUUGAGCAACACAAGAUAUACAUGUUUAUAUCUACAUCAUAUGAGCAUUCAAACUUGAUGGUCAUUGCAUUUCAACGGUUGAAAAUAUGAAAAAAAACAUUUCAAAAUAUCUUAUAGCACUCAUAUUUACAUGGAGAUUUGGCUGGUCUCACCUCGAGGUCGGAGGGGGUCGGUGACGGGGACGACGGCGGGGAUGAUGGAGGGGCUCCUUGAUUUCUGCAAAAACAAAAACCCUAUAAGCUAUCAACUAAUCAAAUGCAUAUGCCCUCUCCAAUUUGAGCAUUCAAAAUAGGAGUAGUUCUCCAAUUUGAGCAUUCAAUAAGCAAAACCAAAUCAUAAAAUAAAUUAGUAUUCAAAUUAGCAUGCAUUCAAUAAGCAAAACUAAAUCAUCUCUUCUAUCCGUACAUCAUCGAAUAUUAUCACUAAUACAUCUCGAAUAGUAUCAUACAUAUAACAUCACUAAUACAGGUUAAACCCUAGCAAACGACGGGUAUCGGCGCGGGUGGUGGAUACCUAAAGAGAAGGAACCAUCACUGGAUCAUAGCUCUAGUGAGAUCCCUGAAGAACCAGCCAUGUAUUGGAGAACCUGCCCUCCAAUGCAACCAUGUAGCGAUGGACGUGCUCGUCCUCCUCGCUGACACGGUGACGUACCAUCUCCUCGGGGUCCUCAAGCGUGCGCACCGUCACUAGCCCACCCGACCGCCACCAAAGAAGGUUCGGGUCAAUGACGGGCUGGCUCCUCACCAAGCUGUGCCCCCAGAAGGUAGCACCUCCCAGUACUAGCCUGGCGGAGCCCAGUCCCGGACAUGGCCUCCUCCGCCGAGUCGACGACAAGGAUGCGGGAUAGGCAUCAUCGAUGUCGUUGCGGGAAUAAUUUCUUUAACUAAGAAAAUAACAAAAAAUGUGACAUGUUCAAAAUAUGACAUGUCCACUUCACAACGAAUCAACCUAGAAUUCUAUUAAAUACACAUAAAAAUAAACUAGUUCUAUUAAUUUUCAUACUAAAACUAACUAGUUCUAUAGUAACAUUUUAAUUAGAUCAUCAAAUCUCAUAUAAUUUAAUUUUCUUACUAAAAAUAAACUAGUUCUAUUAAUUCAACUAGGUAAACUAAACACUUACUAUAAAUAAAAAUAAACUAUUAUUACUAAAAAUAAACUAGUUCAACUACUUUUAUUAAUUUUCUUACUAAAAAUAAACUAGUUCUAUUAAUUCAACUAGUUCUUACUAAAAAUAAACUAGUUCUAUUAAUUUUCUUACUAAUUCUAUUAAAAACUUACUAAAAACAGUAAAAAAACUAUGUUGCAUUUUUUCUCUAAACUAAACACUACUGCCCUAAUUAACAUCUAGUUAAACCCUACUGCCCUAACCCUACUGCCCUAGUUCUUAAGGAUCUAUUAGUACUAACUAAUUUGAUGAACCCUAGCUAGGUACUUAAGCAUCUACAACUACUUAAGCACCCAUUGAUGAAUCCUAGGAAUUUGUCCUAAAAACUACUUAAGCAUCUACAACUACUGCCCUAAUUAACAUCUAGUUUACAAUUAUAUUUUCUUAACUACAUUGGGUGCACAACAACUAUAUAAAUACUUAAGCAUCUAGAAGUAGUAGCUAAUUUGAUGAACCCUAAAAUUUGAUGAACCCUAGGAACCCUAGCUUGGAAGGGGUAGGGAAGGAGGAGGAGGAGGAGGAGGUGUAGGCAUGCUCACCUCGGGCGCCGACGGAGUUAGGGAGCGGCUGAGGGAGGGGCACGCGGCGUCGAGGUCGGGAUCAGGGCUCGGGCGUGCGGUGGAGGGCGGCGAUGUAGGGCGACGAUAAUGGCGGCCACUAAGGGCAGCAGAGGGCGUGUGGAGGGCGACGGGAGAGUGCGCGGCGGCCGACGACGAUAUGGGGUGACGAUGGCGAUGACAGCAGCUUGAGGGGGGAUUUGGGGGAAGUGGUCGGGGGGAAUAAGAACCAUGUGGUUAAGUCAAAAAUAGCAGUAGUGCUUGCCCAGAAAAGCGCUACUUACUGCUACAUUAGCUAUAACGCUGGCUAACAAAAUGCGCUACUGCUACGUCUGCUAUAGUGCUUGUCCUGAAAGCAAUCUACUGCUACUCCUUUCUCCUUUAUUUUCUUUUUCUUUUAUUUUCCUUCACACUUUAUUUUUUUCCUUUCCCCUUUUUCUAUUUCUUUCAUUUUCAUUUACUUUUGUAUAUGUUUUUCAUUUUAUUUUAUUUUCAUUAGCAGUAGCACUUUCCGCAUAAAACACGCUGCUACAACCAUCUUAGCAGCAGCGCGCUUUGUAUAAGCUUGCUACUAAUAUUCCUAGCCUGCCAAGAACGAUGUGGGAAUUCUAGUAGUAGCACUUCUUUCUUCAGACGCGCUACUGCUAUAAACUUAGCUGUAGCGCGUUUAUUUACCGGCGCUAGUGGUAAGUAGUAGUAGCGCUUCUUUUUGACCAGUGCUACUGGUAAGUUUCUGUGUAUAAGGUUUUCCCUAGUAGUGCUUGAAAACUGUUCCGAUCCCCUAUACUUGUUGGUUAUCAUCCGUCAUGGCCGCCACCCCACUGCCGGCCACCAUGGCCAUCACCUGCUCCGCCAUCGCGGCCUGAAGGCGGGAGGUGGUAGUCGUGUCCGCCACCCAUUGUCACCCGCAGUGGCCACCAGCCCACCGUCGACCGCCGGGGUCAUCACCCGCUCCGCCACUGCCCCCGAAGGCGGGAGGCGGAGGUGGAGGCCCGCACGUGCGUGAGUGACCUUGUGCGCUACAUCGAGUUCCUGCGGGAGGAGGAGGAGCACCUCACCGAGCACACAAAGAGCCUUACCACCGCCGAGGGAGUCCUGGAUUAGGGGGUCUACGGACCGCCAGACUAUAUCCUUUGGCUGGACUGUUGGACUAUGAAGACACAAGAUUGAAGACUUCGUCCCAUGUCCGGAUGGGACUCUACUUGGCGUGGAAGGCAAGCUAGGCAAUACGGAUAUGUAUAUCUCCUCCUUUGUAACCGACCUUGUGUAACCCUAGCCCCCUCCGUUGUCUAUAUAAACCAGAGGGUUUUAGUCCGUAGGACAACAGACAAUCAUACCAUAGGCUAGCUUCUAGGGUUUAGCCUCUUCGAUCUCGUGGUAGAUCAACUCUUGUACUACUCAUAUUAUCAAGAAUAAAUCAAGCAGGACGUAGGGUUUUACCUCCAUCAAGAGGACCCGAACCUGGGUAAAACAUCGUGUCCCCUGCCUCCUGUUACCAUCCGCCUUAGACGCACAGUUCGGGACCCCCUACCCGAGAUCCGCCGGUUUUGACACCGAUAUUGGUGCUUUCAUUGAGAGUUCCUCUGUGUCGUCGCCGUUAGGCUUGAUGGCUCCUUCGAUUAUCGAUAGUGAUGCGGUCCAGGGUGAGACUUUUCUCCCCGGACAGAUCUUUGUAUUUGGCGGCUUCGCACUGCGGGCCAACUCGCUUGGCCAUCUGGAGCAGAUCAAGAGUUACGCCCCUGGCCACCAGGUCAGGUUUGGAAGCUUAAACUACACGACCGAUCUCCGCGGAGACUUGAUCUUCGACGGAUUCGAGCCCCUUCUUAGUGCGCCACACAGUCACGAUGAGCAUGAUUUAGCUCUGCCAUCGGACAGUGUCCAGGAGAUCGCGCCGGCAACCGCUCCGAUCCUCAAUUCGGAGCCAGUUGCGCCAUCCAUGGACGAGUGGAUAGACCCCGCCACGGAGGCCGCACUCUCAUCGGCGAUUGAGCCGAGUGUCGACCUUACCCUUCACGGGAGCCAUGAUGCCGAACUACCGAAUUCCUCCCCGGCCACGGACUCCGAACCGCCUGCGCCCGUGCCUAUCGAAUCCGAUUGGGCGCCGAUCAUGGAGUUUACCUCCGCGGAUAUUUUUCAGCACUCGCCCUUCGGCGACAUACUGAACUCAUUAAGGUCUCUCUCCUUGUCAGGAGAAUCCUGGCCGAACUAUGUCCGGCAGGAUUGGGAUGCGGAUGACAAAGAAAUUCGCCGCCCACCCACCACCUACUUAGUAGCCACUGUCGAUGACUUAACCGACAUGCUCGACUUCGACUCCGAAGACAUCGACGGUAUGGACGACGAUGCGGGAGACGAAGAGGAACCACUACCCAUAGGGCACUGGACAACCACCUCAACAUAUGAUAUAUACAUGGUGGACACACCCAAAGAAGCCAAUGGCGACGAGACAACGGAGGAUGACCCCUCCAAGAAGCAACCCAAGCGCCAACGUCAGUGGCGCCGCUCUAAGUCUCGCCAAAGCAAAAGUGGUGACACCAGCACAGGAGAUAAUACCACUCCGGACAGUGCCGAAGACGACAACAAUCCCCUCCAGCAAGAUUUAGGGCAGGAGGAUGGAGAAGCCAACCCUCCCGAGAGAGCGGCAGAUGGAGAGGCGGAGGAUGAUAAUUACAUGCCUCCCUCCGAAGACGAGGCAAGCCUCGACGAUGACGAAUUCGUCGUGCCUGAGGAUCCCGUCGAACAAGAGUCCUUCAAGCACCGGCUUAUAGCCACGGCAAAUAGCCUUAAGAAAAAGCAACAGGAGCUUCAAGCUGAUCAAGAUUUGCUAGCUGACAGAUGGACUGAAGUCCUUGCGGCCAGGGAAUAUAAACUCGAACGCCCCUCCAAGAUUUACCGAAAGCGUACGUUGUUACCCCGACUGGAGGAGGAAGCACUCAAACCUACAUCUCCAGCAUAUGAUGCGGCUGACCGGCCACCUCAUGGCCGAGACAGAGAGGCAUUUCAGCCAAAAGCUCAGCUCGCACUCCGACGCCACUCAAAUAAAAUUGUCAAGGCAUGGGGAAAUACGCCAAACCUGUGAGACGUAUUGGAGGACAAAGCAAAACAUGCAAGAUUGAUCUACAGAUCACGAGGGCGCGCCACUAUGUGAGACGAUAAUCGUCACGCCGGAUACAGUAAAAGUAAGUCCAGCCGGGCCGAACACAGCGGGUAAGACUCAUUUGAGCUGCGUCGCGAUAUAGCCCAGUACAGAGGCGCCGCACACCCCCUAUGCUUCACAAACGAAGUAACGGAUCAUCAAAUCCCAAAGGGUUUCAAACCUGUAAAUAUAGAAUCAUACGACGGCACAACAGAUCCUGCGGUAUGGGUCGAGGACUUCCUCCUGCACAUCCACAUGCCCCGCGGUGAUGAUUUACACGCCAUCAAAUACCUCCCACUCAAGCUCAAAGGACCAGCUCGGCAUUGGCUCAACAGCCUGCUAGCAUAAUCCAUUGGUUGUUGGGAAGAUCUAGAAGCCGCAUUCCUCGACAACUUCCAGGGAACUUAUGUGUGACCACCGGAUGCCGAUGACUUGAGCCACAUAAUUCAGUAGCCAUAGGAAUCGGCCAGGCAAUUCUGGACACGGUUCCUAACAAAGAAAAAUCAAAUCAUCGAUUGUACGGAUGCAGAGGCCCUAGCAGCUUUUAUGCACAACAUCCGCGACGAGUAGCUCGCCCGGCACCUUGGCCAGGAAAAGCCAAAAUCUAUGGCAGCCCUCACGACACUCAUGACCCGCUUUUGCGCGGGAGAAGAUAGCUGGCUGGCUCACAGCAAUAACAUAUCAAAGAACCAUGGUACUUCGGAUACCAAGGAUGGCAAUGGCAGGUCACAUCGCAACAAACUCAAGCGCCGCAUCAACAACGACAAUACCGAGGAUACGACAGUCAAUGCCGGAUUCAAAGGCUCUAAACCCGGUCAGCGGAAAAAGCCAUUCAAAAGAAGCACUCCGGGCCCGUCCAGUUUGGACAGUAUACUCGACCGCUCGUGUCAAAUACACGGCACCCCUGACAAGCCAGCCAACCACACCAACAGGGAUUGUUGGGUGUUCAAGCAGGCCGGCAAGUUAAAUGCCGAAAACAAAGAUAAGGGGUCGCAUAGCGAUGACGAGGAGGAGCCCUGGCAGCCGAACACCGGAGGACAGAAGAGGUUCCCCCCACAAAUGCGGACGGUGAACAUGAUAUACGCAACCCACAUCCCCAAGAGGGAGCGGAAGCGUGCGCUAAGGGACGUAUAUGCAUUGGAGCCAGUCGCCCCAAAGUUCAACCCAUGGUCCUCUUGCCCAAUCACCUUUGAUCGCAGGGACCACCCCACUAGUAUCCAUCAUGGCGGAUUCGCCGUACUGGUUCUAGACCCAAUCAUUGACGGAUUUCACCUCACUCGAAUCCUUAUGGAUGGCGGCAGCAGCCUGAACCUACUUUAUCAGGACACAGUGCGCAAAAUGGGUAUAGACCCCUCAAGGAUCAAACCCACCAAAACGACCUUCAAAGGCGUCAUACCAGGUGUAGAGGACCAUUGCACAGGCUCAGUCACACUGGAAGUGGUCUUCGGAUCACCGGAUAACUUCCGAAGUGAGGAGUUAAUCUUCGAUAUAGUCCCGUUCCGCAGUGGCUAUCAUGCACUGCUCGGGCGAACCGCAUUUGCGAGAUUCAAUGCGGUACCGUAUUAUGCAUACCUCAAGCUCAAGAUGCCAGGACCUCGGGGGGUCAUCACAGUCAAUGGAAACACAAAGCACUCUCUCCGUACGGAGGAGCACACUGCGGCCCUCGCAGCAGAAGCGCAAAGAAGCCUCUUAAGGCAAUCCACCAGUUUGGCGAUUCAAGAUCCGGACACCUUCAAGUGCGCCCGGAGUAAUCGGCAACUAGACCGCCUGGCAUGUUCCGAGCUCGCAUAGCAAUGCGGCCCCCACUCCAGUACCAGCCAAACGGCGAAAUCCAUGCCACGCGUACAUAAUUACACAUUGAAAAUACCAUGGGCCAAGGUGGGGAGGGGGGCAUGACUACGGCACGCCCCAAAACGCGGCUCAACCGCACUAGGGGCUUCCCGCUUUGUUAUUUUUCUCUAUUUCUGGACUUUAAUCUCUAGAAACCCUGUUCGGCAGUAUGAUUGCCGAACACAUGAUGCAGCAACCAAGGAGGUAGAAAGCUACGUCGCACCACGGAACUCCCAGGUGGAUUACAAUAACGAGUGAAAUACUUGCUUUAAUACCAUUCCUCAGCUUGCCCUUGGAGGGGACAUGCCAAAUAGUCCUACUUUUUGCUUAUCGCACUACUUGUAUCGUUCUGCUUUAACGCACCUUUUUGAAUAAACAAUGCAUAGCACUAGACUAUUAUUGCAUUCUCUAUUCUUCUUCUUAUAUACAUAUAUAUGUUCAUUCAUGACAUCCAGCACCCGUACACUCUGGUACGGCCAGUACGCUAGGGGCUUAAGCAUACCCCAUAAUACGACGUGAGAAGUCCGAACACUUUCGAUAGUGCGGCACCCCGAACACUUUCGAUAGUGCGGCACUCCCAUGUUUUGGUACCUUACGUUCCGCUAUAUCGGCUAAGGUAGCACUGGGAGAACUACUGCGAUUGUGCCCCGGUUCAGCUGGGCUAAGCACCUCAGUAGAGAAAGCUAAAACUGACUGUCAUGAUAAGGCGAGAGUUGGUUGCUGUUCGAGAGGUUUCGAGUCCCUAAAGACUUAUGCCGCUUAGAGCAAGGAGUCGGCUUUGUAGGCGUGUAUAGCACCCCGAAUUCAGCCUUCCGAAUACUAGGGGCUCACCAAAAUUUCAAAUUAUAGAAUUCUAUGGCUAAGUGAGCGUGAUAAAGCAUUAUAGUUCGAUUGCCUUGUUCGUUGUGCUGAGCACCUCCCUCGAAGGACCCAAAAAUGGGAAAAAGAGUGCUCAGGUUUAUCCCGAACACCUCAGCACUCGUGGCAUUGGGGCAGAAGCCGACGACUAGCCAUCUCUCAGAUUUGAUAAACAGCCGAACAGAAGGUAAUAUUUUAAAUUCAAACAAGCGUUGCAUAGCACAUAUGAACAAGUUUUCAUAAUACAGGAUCACACAAGCAAGUUCAUUCAAAUAUUACAUCUUUCGCACACUCGUCCGCUACAAGACUGGCACCCUUCAAGACACCCUCAUAAUACAUCUCGGGGUGGCGAUGCUCCUUGCCCUGCGGUGGCCCCUCCUUCACCAGCUUCUCGGUGUCCAUCUUGGCCCAGUGCACCUUCGCACGGGCAAAAGCUCGAUGUGCACCUUCGAUGCAGAUGGACCGCUUGAUGACUUCCAGUCGUGGGCAGGCAUCCACAAGCCGCCUCACCAGGCCGAAGUAGCUGUUGGGAAGGGAGUCGCUAGGCCACAUCUGGACUAUAAAGCCCUUCAUGGCCUGUUCGGCCGCCUUGUGUAGCUCGACCAGUUGCUUCAGCUGGUCGGUCACAGGCAUCGGGUGUUCAGUCCCAGUAUACUGAGACCAGAACAACUUCUUCGUCGAGCUUCCCUCCUUGGCCUGGUAAUAUUCCGCGGCAUCCGACACACUGCAGGGCAAAUCUGCGAAUGCUCCUGGAGAGCUCCGGACUCGGGUAAGUAACAAGUAAUUUACUUGUACAUGCUUGCUUUGCAUAUUGAAUGCCUUACCCGCCGCUAUCUUCCGCAUCACCUCAAUCUCCUGGACGGCUUUUUGGGCUUCGGCCUUGGCAUUCUUUGUGCUCUCGAGGGCCGUGGCAAGCUCAGACUCUCGCGUCUUCGAGUCAAGCUCCAAAGCCUCGUGCUUCGUCACAAGAGCCUGGAGCUCUUGCUGCACCUCGCCCACCCGUGCCUCUUGCUUUUCCCGCUCGGUGCGCUCCUAGGCCGCUUUGUUUUCGGCCUCUAACAGCACUUGCUUCAAGGUCGCCACUUCGGUCGUGGCCCCUGGCAAAUUCAUGAUGAUCCUGUCAUUUCGCAAUCGCAUCUUUUUUGUAUAUAUAUAUAUCUAUAGACAAGGUAUUACUUACCUUUGAUCUCCUCGAGCUGCCUCUUAGCAAGGCUGAGCUCUUUCUCGGACCCCGCAAGGUCCUGCUUCAGUGCGGCGACCUCCGCAGUCAGUGCAGCAGAGGUCAGCAGCGAAGCCUGCAUACGCAUAUAGACAUACUUAUAUUAGACUCCUGCAGAUAUUAUUUGAUCCUCUAUUCGGCUUUUCUUUGUGAACACCAAACAUAGCAUUAGGGGCUACUGUCUAUGCGGUAAUAUUUUUCCUAUAUUUUAAAUACUUACCUCAAAGCCUGUUAGAAGGCUGGCACAGGCUUCAGUCAGUUCGCUCUUGGCGGACUGAACCUUCUUGAUCACAGCACUCAUAAUAGUGCGGUGCUCUUCGUCGAUGGAAGCGCCGCGAAGCGCUCCCAGCAGGUUGUCUGAUGCCUCUGGAUGGACAAAGGUCACCGGCACAGGCGUCUUGCACCUUUUGGAAGGGGGCCGCCUGCCCGAGUCCGGAACCACUGGAGGUUCCGGCGCGGUGUUCGGCUGAGAGCCAAACUUGGGGGCCCCGGGAGCCUUGCUCCCUUUGCUCCUGGAGUCCAUAAGGUCGCCUUGAGGCGCCUCCGGGACUGUCUCCCCCCGGCUCACUGCCCCUUGAGACAAUACUUCGAUAUUGUCCGUAGGGCAAGGGGAGGAGGCGGUCGGAAGUGGAUCACUAUCCAUAUCCGACGAGUCCAUGGAACCGUCCGACGAGGAUACGUCGAUACGGGCUUGGGGCGGUCUGCAUAAUCAUAUUUGGCGUUAGGAGAAGCAGUGCGACAACGGUAUGCUAUGAGUUACUCUGGUAUCUGAAUUCUUACGACUUCGCCAGGGGCUUGGCCCUGAGCAGCCACUCGUCUUCGCCUUCGGCGGCAGAGGUGGAGCAGUCCGGAAGAAGAGUCCUUCCCUUCUUGGACCCUUCGGCCUCCCCGAUUAGGGCGGCCUUCCUUUUCUUGUCUCCCCCGGCUAGAGGGGGAGCAUCCUCAUCUUCCUUCUCGUUUUCAUGGGAGGAGUGCGUAUCGGAGUUAUCGGACUCCUCCUAUGAGCUUGCUGCAGUUCUCUGAGCUUGUCAAGAACCAAACGCAAGUGCUUGGCAUGAUCUUCCUUGUUCUUCGAGAAAACCAGAAUGUCGUCGAGAUAGACCAGAACGAAUUCAUUGGUGUAGGGGUUGAAGAUGAAGUUCAUCAUGCGAGAGAACGUCGGAGGAGCGUUGGCGAGGCCAAAAGACAUGACGGUGUAUUCAUAUGAACCAAAGCUUGUCCUGAACGCCGUCUUUGGAAUAUCUUGCUCACGAAUACGAAUCUGAUGAUAACCCAUACGGAGAUCAAGCUUGGAGAAUACUUGAGCACCCUUGAGUUGUUCGAACAGCUCAUUGAUGUUGGGAAGUGGGUAUUUGUUCUUGAUGGUCUUCUUGUUUACUGGACGGUAAUCAACACAAAGUCGACUCGAUCCAUCCUUCUUCUUCACAAAAAGAACACCACAACCCCACGGAGAAGUACUAGGCCGCAUGAGACCCAAUCUUUCUUGCUCAUCGAGUUGUUUCUUCAACUCCUUCAACUCUUCGGGGCCGAGCUUGUAGGGACGUUUGCACACAGGUUCCGUACCGGGCUCAAGUUCAAUAACAAAUUCAACCGGCCGGUUUGGAGGCAUCCCUGGAAGCUCUUCUGGAAAGACGUCUUGAUACUCACAAACAACCGGAAUCUGCGAAAUAGCAUCCAAUUCACCCUUCUCAUUGAGAGAAAACAACCGGAUGGUAUUAUCCCGAGCGGCAAAGACAAUGACAUCCUCAGACGAAUGAGUCAGUUGAAUCUGCCUGGCUGCACAAUCAAGCUGAGCUCUAUGCUUAGAGAGCCAGUCCAUCCCGAGAAUAAGAUCGAUAUCCGAGUUGCCAAGAACCGUAGGAGAAGCCAAGAACUUGUAGUCACCCAGAGUGAUAGAAACAUCCGGAACGAUGGAGUUAGCCUGCAUGCGCUUACCGGGAGAGACAACUGCUAAAGGACUAGGCAAAAUUUGUGAAGGCAAACCAUGCUUAGAUGAAAAUGGUCUCGAGAUGAAACAAUGCGAUGCACCUGUGUCAAAAAGAACAUUUGCAGGAAUAUCAUUAACAGGAAGGUUACCCAUGAUCACAUCUGACGAGUCCUCUGCCUGAGCUGCAUUCAUCAAGUUGACCUUGGCGGACUUGGGGUUAUGCUUGACCACAGCUGUACUUGCCGAUCUGACAGGAGGAGGAGGAGGAAGACGCCUCUGGUUGGUACACUUGUUGGCAUAGUGACCCUUCUGUUGGCACUUGUUGCACGUGACCUCUGAAAGCGGACGGUGAUACGGAGCACUCGAUCUUGGCGCUUGAGACGAAGAUUUGUUCUGAAAGCCUGGGUUGGGUGGGUGGGAGAAACCACUGCCACCUUUGCUCUUCUGCUGAUACGGCUGACGGAACGGAGGAGGAGGAAGCCAAUACUUCUGUUGCUUGACCACUUGAGUAGAGGAAGACAGAGUAAUAUCUCUGGCACGCUUCCUGGAAGCAUCACAUCUCAUCUGAGCAGCCUCUUGCUUCAGUGCCAUGUUGUAGAACUCAUCGUAUCUCAACGGCUCAAAGAGGACAAGAGCGAGCUGAAUUUCCUCACGAAGACCACCCCUGAACUGAUAGAUCAUGCUCUUCUCGUCAGGAACAUCCUGCUUGGCAAAACGGGCGAGCUUCUGGAACAACUUGUUGUAGUCAUAGACAGACAAAGAGCCUUGCUUCAGAUUGCGGAAUUCCUGACGCUUACUCUCAACCACACUUUGAGGGAUGUGAUGAGCGCGGAAAUCUUGACGGAAAUCGUCCCAAGUGAUAACACGUCCACCUCUGGAAUCCUUGUACUGCUGGAACCACUCUGCAGCCUGAUCUUUGAGCUGGAAAGAAGCGAACUUGACGAAAUCUUCAGGCCUGACGUUGCUGCAUUCAAAAUGCUUGCCCAGAUCCACUAGACAAUCGUCAGCGUCGGUAGCCUCAACACAACCGCUGAACGUCUUUGGGCCAUUAGCAAGGAACUGGUUCAGAGUAGCAAAGUGGUGCUGAUUGUGGCCUUGAUUCCCUUGACUGCCUUGAUUGCGCUCUUGAAGGAUUUGCAUGAUCAACUGUGUGUUUGCAUUAGUAGCGGCCAUCACAGCUUGCCAUGCUUCCGGAGGAGGCGGAGGUGGAGGCGGAUCAGGAUUCGGAGUCGUGCGCGUUGGAGGAGCCAUCCUGAAGAGGUUGACCACCAUUAGCACAUAGAUAGACAACAAUAUUGAAGCUGAAUCCAACGGAAUGAAAAUUGCAACAUAUAGUCUUCACAUCCGAACAAAAUGAACGAAUGCAUUCCUCUUCAAAUGAUCACAUAUCCACAAAUUGAGAAGCCACGAAGAAUUAAGGUAGAGAAAUAAAUCAACAAGGUACGGAUCAAGAACGAAUAAUCAGUAAGAAAUCCCAAUCUCAAACCAAUAUCCGUGGAAGAAGAACUAGAGCUACUAGAUUUCCCACCUAUGAAACUCCCGAACCUUUCCGGUUAUGCAAUCAGGUGUUGGGGAUACAGGGGAAGCACAAUAUCUCACCCAAACUAGCAAAUCCUACAUCCAGCUGUAUCCAUCCUUCAACACAUAACCAGGAAAACUUCGGAAACCAUCUACCUCAACCUUCGAAAAGCAUCCGUUAUACAAGUUAUGGCGAUACUCCCGAACUCCCGCCCCAGUACUGGGUGGCGUCGAGGUUAUCUCACCAACGAACUGCAUAAAAGAGAUUUUCGAUGUCGGCGAACAUAUCUCAAGUAUACCAGAAUUGCAACGAUAAAAUUGUGACGACAACACCUCGGAGCUCAACUCCCCGGGACACUGCCACAACCCCUAAAGACAGGAGGAACCAAGAACAAUGUUCUCGUCACAAAACCAUCGGAACAAAACCAAGAUACUCGCGUGAUCCUAAAAAAAAUUUUAAGUGAAAUUUGAGAAGAGAAGAGUCAAAACUCUACGUCAGGAUGCCUUACCAGAGCGAUGAGGAGGCUGAGAAGUAAAAAGAAUUCCUAAGCUCUCCGAUAUACAAUUCCUAAGGACUCAAAACAUUUUUUUUCUAGACACAACUCGGCUGCUAAAAACGAUCAAGCAAAGGGGCUCCUAAGGUCGGGGAAGGCUCUGUUACCAACUUGUAACGCCCUCGAUGCGGCUAUAGCUCCCACGUGUCGAGGCACGACUUAGAGGCAUAACCGCAUUGAAAGCAAUGUCGCAAGUCAGGCAAUCAUUACAACAUCCCAUGUAAUAUAUAAUAAAAGGGGGAGAUAAUAUAGUUGGCUUACACUCACCACGUCACAUCAGAGUACAUAAAUAACAUCCAUCAAACAAGCACUCAUGGCCCGACUACGGCGCCAAAAUAGAAAAGACCCCCAACAUGCGACAAGGUCCUGAAUCGAUAACCCCAACUAGGCACCACUACUGAUCAUCUGGAAAGGACACGUAGUAUCGCUGAGAGUCCUCGUCGAACUCCCACCUGAGCUCGUAAUCGUCAACUGGAGCAGAAUCACCUGGACCUGCAUCUGGAGUUGUAGUAUCUGUGAGCCACAGGGACUCAGCAAUCUCACACCCACGCGAUCAAGACUAUUUAAGCUCAUAGGAAUGGAUAAGGCAAAUAUAUGUGGAGCUGCAGCAAGUGACUAGCAUAUGUGGCGGCUAACUUAUACGCAAAAGAGAGCGAGAAGAGAAGGCGAAGCACGAGCGAGAAGCUAAAGGAACAUCCUGCGCAAGCAUAACUCCAACACCGUGUCCACUUCCCGGACUCCGCCGAGAAGGGGCCAUCACGGUAACACACACGGUUGUUUCGUUUUAAUUAAGUUUAAUUAAAGUUAUCUACAACCGGACAUUAACAAAUUCCCAUCCGCCCAUAACCGCGGGCACGGCUUUCGAAAGAUCAAUCCCUGCAGGGGAGUCCCAACUUAGCCCAUGACAAGCUCUCACGGUCAACGAAGGAAUAGACCUCCUCCCAAGACGUUCCGAUCAGACUCGGUAUCUCGGUAACUCAAGACACUUCGACAGGUUAAAACAAGACCAGCAACACCGCCCGAAUGUGCCGACAAAUCCCGAUAGGAGCUGCACAUAUCUCUUUCUUAGGGCACACUCAGAUUGUCUUAGGUACGGGUAGGCCAGCCCAGAGUUGCCCCUGGUAGCCACCGGUAGCUGACAGGUGGACCAACACUCAGAGGAGCACUGGCCCGGGGGGGGGGUAAAAUAAGAUGACCCUCGGGCUCCGGAAACCCAAGGGAAAAAAAGAGGCUAGGUGGCAAAUGGUAAAACCAAUGUUGGGCAUUGCUGGAAAAGCUUUAAUCAAGGCGAACUAUCAAGGGGUUCCCAUUAUAGCCCAACCGCGUAAGGGACGCACAAUCCGGGAACAUAACACCGAUAUGACGGAAACUAGGGCGGCAAGAGUGGAACAAAACACUAGGCGAGAGGCCGAGCCUUCCACCCUUUGCCAAGUAUAUAGAUGCAUUAAGAUAACAUAGCAAUAAAAUGAUAUCCCAACAAGAAUAUAAAUGUUCCAACAAGGAACGGCUCCAAUCUUCACCUGCAACUAACAACGCUAUAAGAAGGGCUGAGCAAAGCGGUAACAUAGCCAAUCAAUGGUUUGCUAGGACAAUGGUGGGUUAGAGGUUCAACAUGCCAAUUGGGAGGCUGACAAGCAAAAGGUAGGCAUCGUAGCAGUGGCAAAGCAAAAGAGCGAGCAAACUAGCAUAGCAAAGAUAGUAGUGAUUUCGAGGGUAUGAUCAUCUUGCCUGCACAGUUGUCAGAGUUGACUGGAUCCUCACAAGCAAACUCAACGGGCUCCUCGGUAGCGAACUCGUCUCCCGGCUCUACCCAGCAAGACAAACAAGCAACAAGGAUACAAUCAACCACGGGCAAGACCAAGCAAUAUGAUGAAAUGACGAUAUGCUAUGCGGGAUGCGAUGCGGGAUGCAAAAUGCAAGAUAUGACAGGAAAUGCAUGAACCUGGCAUCAACUUGGAAAACCAAGUGUGCCACUGGAUAGAGGGGAUGAAAUCGCUUGAAAACGAUAUAAAGAUCAUAGGAAUCGGAGCUACGGUUUAGAAAUGGCAAGCGUUUUAAGAUAUGACACAGGUCUGCGAUUUACAGCAAGUAGGCAUCUAAAUGCAACGAAAUGAACAUGCUACAGCCACCAAACAUGAAAACAAAAUACAUGGCAGUGAUGUACACAAGAUGGUUGACAAAACACUAGCACUGAGCCAUAGGCAAAUUCAUCCAUUAAGAGGUUCAAACAAGCAUGGCUAAAAUGCAAAUGCAAAACAGAUUUCAGACUUAGUGAAAUUAACACUAGUCUGAAAUUUCAGAUCACGAAGCUCUCUUCGGAGCAGCAAAACAACAUGAUAGAAAACCUGAACAUGACAAGUAAGAACAUGUCAUGGAGCUACUCAUCAAGCUUAAUAAAACACCCAAAGUGACCUGGGGCCAAAAGGGUUCACAAAAUACUCUACCGAGCUCACGAACAUCGCUCGAACACAAUCAGUUUUCAGACUUGGUGAAAACUGAGACAUGCUGAAAUUUAACUCACGAAGGCAUGUAAACGAGCUCGAUGCACUCACUACGGUGCAAGUCAUGGCAAGGAAAGCAUAUAACCAUCAAGAAGGCACAAAGUGCUAGCUACACAUGGCAAGAACGAAGGCAUAGCAUGCAUGGAACUCUAACGGUAGCAUCGGCGAAAUCGGAAACAAGUUGACGAUCUGCCCAGAUUAACAACGAAGCAAAAGUUGAGCUCGAUUGAGUCAACCUAGAGCACUCCACAAAUGCCAACAAAGCCAUGGAUGGAUAGAGCAUGACAUAAAUAUCAAAACUCCCUUACUUAUCAUCCUCAAAAGAGGCACGGAUCAUUAGGAAACAAGCUGGACAUAUAGCAUCAUGAACUAAAAUAUCCCAGACUUAGCGAAAAUCACUAAGUCCCUGAAAUCUGCAAUCUCAGGUACCUCUCUUCGCAAGCUUGCACAGGACAACACACACAUCCUAAAAAUGCAUGGGUGGCACCUCUGGAAAGAAGACAAGAUGCUUCACAAUUCAUCCCAAAGGGGCACAGGCAUAUCAUGCACGAAUUAAAUAUGACAAAAAUGACAAAAGUGCAUGAUGAACUAACGAGUCUGCAAUUUAACUCACGAAGCCUCCUUCUACCAGCAUUUUGGGUAUCAAGAUGACCUCAAAUGCAAAUGAUGCAAUGGAAUGAAAUGAUUUACAUGUCGAGGCGAAGAUUUUGACAUAUCAUACGCCCAAAACGGAUCUACGGUUGCGGAGAUACGAGCAGUCAAACAUCGCAUAAAAAAUUAGGGUUACGGGGAUGAAAAGUCAACCUAGAGGAUUAGAUCUCAGAUCUGGCGCGGUUUACGAAGUUCGCCGGAAACACUGUAGCUGCUCGCCGGAGUUGCGCCGGAGAGGCCCAGGAGCUCGCCGGAGCUCGGGGAAGAGGCCGGGGAGGUCGGGGUCGCCGGAUCCGGCACUCCCGCGGCCGGAUCUGGCCGGAGACGCGGCGAGGAGGCGGCAGCCNNNNNNNNNNNNNNNNNNNNNNNNNNNNNNNNNNNNNNNNNNNNNNNNNNNNNNNNNNNNNNNNNNNNNNNNNNNNNNNNNNNNNNNNNNNNNNNNNNNNNNNNNNNNNNNNNNNNNNNNNNNNNNNNNNNNNNNNNNNNNNNNNNNNNNNNNNNNNNNNNNNNNNNNNNNNNNNNNNNNNNNNNNNNNNNNNNNNNNNNNNNNNNNNNNNNNNNNNNNNNNNNNNNNNNNNNNNNNNNNNNNNNNNNNNNNNNNNNNNNNNNNNNNNNNNNNNNNNNNNNNNNNNNNNNNNNNNNNNNNNNNNNNNNNNNNNNNNNNNNNNNNNNNNNNNNNNNNNNNNNNNNNNNNNNNNNNNNNNNNNNNNNNNNNNNNNNNNNNNNNNNNNNNNNNNNNNNNNNNNNNNNNNNNNNNNNNNNNNNNNNNNNNNNNNNNNNNNNNNNNNNNNNNNNNNNNNNNNNNNNNNNNNNNNNNNNNNNNNNNNNNNNNNNNNNNNNNNNNNNNNNNNNNNNNNNNNNNGAUCUGUUUUUUUUAGGGUUUCGGGGAGAGGGAGAGAUCCGAAAACGGAGGGGUGUAUAUAUAGGCAUAGAGGGAGCUAGGAGAGUCCAAAUGAGGUGCGGUUUUCGCCCACACGAUCGUGAUCGAACGCUCUAGGACAUGGAGCAGAGUUUGGUGGGUUUUGGGCCAAAUUUGGGGGGUGUUGGGCUGCAACACACACGAGGCCUUUUCGGUCCCUCGGUUAACCGUUGGAGUAUCAAACGAAGUCCAAAUGACCCGAAACUUGACAGGCGGUCUACCGGUAGUAAACCAAGGCCGCUUGGCAAGACUCGGUCCAAUCCGGAAAUGUUUAAACCCCACACAAGAAAGAAAGCUAGAAAUGACCACCGGAGGAGAACGAAGCGCCGGAAUGCAAAACGGACAACGGGGAAAAUGCUCGAAUGCAUGAGAUGAACAUGUAUGCAAAUGCAAUGCACGUGAUGACAUGAUAAGAGAUGCACGAAAAAAAGAAAAACAACACACGGAGACAAAGACCCAACCCGAGAAAUAAAUAUAACUUAGCGCUGGGGACGGCAAGAGUUGGAUACAAAUAUGGAAAGUAUAUCUGGGGCGUUACAGUCCGAUACCACCUAGCACCGGGAACUCUUUUGGGUUCCCUUGGCCUUCUUCUUGGUCUUCUCUGGCACCUUAUAAGGAGCCGGAGUCAGCAUCUCCGUCAGGAAAGCGUCCGCGGUGUCUUCGGGCAGGGGGGCGGACAGUUAAUCUGCUCCGAUGCCUCCACCCAGUCACGUCAAAGGCAUGGGAGCUCAGACCCCGCACAUGGUUAAGCUAUGGGAAAUAAAUAUCCUACCAAAUAUACAGAACUUACCGGAUUCACAGGGCGCUUCGCGCUUAGCCCGCGGUCCUCGGUAAGAGAGGGAGGGACCUCGGCGCCCUUGAACAACACCCUCCAGACGUCCUUAUGCGUCGUGUCGAAGAGCUCGUGUAGACUCUGGUGCUGGGCUGGGUCAAACUCCCAAAAGUUGAAAUUCCGUUGUUGACACGGGAGGAGCCGGCGGAAGAGCAUGACCUGGACUAUGUUGACAAGCUUAAGUUUCUCGCUUAUCAUGUUCUGGAUACACUUCUGGAGUCCGUCCAGCUCCAUCGAUGAACCCCAGGACAGGCUCUUCUCCUUCCAGGAAGUGAGCCGCAUGGGGAUUCCGCAUCGAAACUCGGGGGCCACCACCCAGUUGGUGUCGCGCGGCUCGGUGAUGUAGAACGACCCCGAUUGCCACCCCUUUACGGUCUCCACGAAGGAGCCCUCGAGCCAUGCAAUGUUGGGCAUUUUGCCCACCAUGGCUCCACCGCAUUCCGCUUGUUGGCCACCCACCACCUUCGGGUUGAUAUUGAAGGUCUUUAGCCACAGGCUGAAGUGGGGCCGGAUGCGGAGGAAAGCCUCGCAGACGACGAUGAACGUCGAGAUGUUGAGGAUGAAAUUCGGGGCCAGAUCAUGAAAGUCCAGCCCGUAGUAGAACAUGAGGCCGCAGACGAAUGGAUGGAGGGGAAACCCCAAUCUGCGGACGAAAUGGGGGAGGAAAAUCACCCUUUCGUGAGGUUCCGGGGUAGGGACGAUCUGCCCCGCGGUUGGCAGCCGAUGCGCGAUAUCCGCGGCUAAGUAUCCGGCUCCAUGCAGCUUUUUGAUGUGUCCCUCCGUGACGGAGGAGGCCAUCCACUUGCCUCCUGCUCCGGACAUGUUUGGAGAGAGUUGAGGAGAAGGAUGUUGACUUGGGCGUUGGAGCUCGAGUGCGUAAGAAUGGAUGAGCAAGGAGGAAGAAGGCAUGGGUAGAAAAAGGUGAGACCUUAUCCCUUUAUAAGGGCGGACGAAACUAUGCGCCCCCACUAGCCUGGUAAAACUCGCUUAUCCCCCAAGCGCUUUAAUUGGUGGUGCGGUUGGCUUACCCACGUCCGUAUUGAUGAGAAUCCCGUAAUAAGGAGAACAUGAUCUCUGCUUUGACAAGACGUGUCAAGAAACCGCCUCGCGUUAUGUGCGGGGCUGGUUAAAGAAAAAUGGUUCGAAUAAUUACCGGGCCAUGGCGUGAUGUCGUGCUGCCAAAACGUGUCAGCAGAUUAGAUUUGUGGAAAUAUUAUUCUCUCUACGGUGGUAUGUGGAACUUAUUUUGCAAGGUCGGAGACUAUCCUUGUAUUCAAAUUCUUCCGUGGUGUAUUCGGAGGAGGAACCCACCUUGCAAUGCCGAAGACAACACUCGCACCGGACUCAUCGUCAUUGAAGCCUAGUUCAGGGGCUACUGAGGCAGUCCUGGAUUAGGGGGUCUCCAUACGGCCGGACUAUAUCCUUUGGCCGGACUGUUGGACUAUGAAGAGUCAAGAUUGAAGACUUCGUCCCAUGUCCGGAUGGGACUCUACUUGGCGUGGAAGGCAAGCUAGGUAAUACGGAUAUGUAUAUCUCCUCCUUUGUAACCGACCUUCUGUAACCCUAGCCCCCUCCGGUGUCUAUAUAAACCAGAGGGUUUUAGUCUGUAGGACAACAAACAAUCAUACCAUAGGCUAGCUUCUAGGGUUUAGCCUCUCCGAUCUCGUGGUAGACCAACUCUUGUACUACUCAUAUUAUCAAGAAUAAAUCAAGCAGGACGUAGGGUUUUACCUCCAUCAAGAGGGCCCGAACCUGGGUAAAACAUGGUGUCCCCUGCCUCCUGUUACCAUCCGCCUUAGACGCACAGUUUGGGACCCCCUACCCGAGAUCCGCCGGUUUUGACACCAACAGCCGCCAUGGCCGCAGCACACACCGCCGUAAAGGCGAGCAAUCAGGAGAGCUACGAGGAGUCCUAAUGCUUCCAGAGGGGUUGUCUACAGCGGCAAAGGGCGUUCAAGGUGAGCGUCAAUGAAGGUGCAGCAGCGGCAGGCACCAUAUUGCAGUUAUCCAGCUCAUCGGUAGGCUCCUCCUCCUUUGCCUCUUAUUGAGCGCGCACGGCAGAGGAGAGGCUGCUCUAAGUAGUACAAAUCCCCUUUGUAGUAGUACUAGUAUUUAGGGGUUAUUUUCUUCAGUUCAUCUGACUAUAGAUGUGGUGCAGAUGUACAAUGUACUUAAAAUUAGCUAAUAUAUAUAGUUGAACUAGCUAUUUUAGUACGUGGUUGGAAACAAUUGGAGAAAAGUUUGGUCGGUUCAACUGUCCAGUUGAAUUGUUUGUAUAAAGAACGACUGCUUAAUCUAUGAAUGAAAUAUAUUCUUAUUUACUAAAUUUGAGUUACAAAAAUUAGAUAGUGCUAGUGAUUUUUAGCUGCAUAUUUUGACAAAUGACAGUGUUACAAGGUUGACAAAGGGCAAUAUUAAUAGAUCCACAAAUGUCAAUCUUUCCAGUUUGACAAAUUGCAAUAUACCCAAUAUGACAGCUGCAAAUCAUACCAAAUUGUUUGUACAUGGUUGCACACAGGUCAUCCGAAAAACCGUUUGCGUUGAAGGGAUGUACAAAUCAUGCGUGCCAGAUUUCUCUUGCUUAGCGCCGAAGUCUCGCUUUGCAUACUGUACUCAAUCUGAACCGUUUGCGUCGAAGAGAUGCACAAAUCCUGCAUGGCGAAUUUUCCCUUGGCUUAGUGGGGAAGACCAUGGCUCUCACUUUGCAUAGGGGUGUUCUAUCUAAAAUGCUUGCAAUGAAGGGCUGCACAAAUCCUGCUCGGCACAAUUUCCCUUGGCUUCCUAGGGAAGCUGUCGGUUUUCAUACGGGUGUUCCAUCUAAAACAUUUGCGAUGAGUGUUUUAUAUUUAAAAACCAUUGACGUUUUUUAAAGAAAAUUGUUUGAUAAGUCUGUACAUUCGGAGAGAAAAACACAAGUUUGUUCAAACCAUAUCUUUCAUUCGGUCACACUGCGAAUUUACAUUCAUAUGAUCGAGAUACGGUACUAAACCCAAAAAAACUAAUUCCGAUGGUGGCAGAGACGGUGUGACACGCUGGCGUUGUCGUUGUCGUCCUCCAAGAUGCCGUUGUUGAAGUCUUCAAGGCAACACAAAAUGUUCUUCACUUGGAAAUCAAACAUCAUGUCAUCGCGUGCUCGACGGGUGGGGCGCGGGAGGACGACAACUCGCGGCGUUGCAAGGCAGCGGUCGACGGCUGCGUCCCAUGCUACUGAGGAGGGCACGCGCACGGGCGCGGAGGGUGCUGGCAAACGCACAGGGACCGGUGUCACUAUGGAUGCAAGGGCGUGCACGGGCACGGGCGCUGGCGCUGGCAUGUACAUGAGCUCGCGUUGGUCUGCACACUCGCGGCUUCCAACUCUGCGAUAGUGCUCGGCGACCAGACCGUCAAUGCUACGUGGAUGCUGGCUAGUGCAGGCGUGGGGAUGGGAGCUGGGGUAGGCACGGGGGCAGCAAUCAUCAUGGCCAGCUCAUUCAGGGCCAUGUCCAUGAGGCCCCAUUCCUCAUUUUCUCUCUCCUUUGGCUCAGAGUCAACUUCACCAAACUAGAAGACUAGUGGCAGAUAAUCCUUCUGUGCCAUGGUGUUGGUGGAGGUCCGCGGGAGGGGAAUGGGAGGCGAACAGUAGGGCAGCCCAUAUUAAACUGAGGCUUGGGCACCAUUUAUGGAGAGGAUGCAAACAAGGCAGGGAGCCAUGGAAGUCAAAGGGCUCGCUUACUGGUGAGCCUGUGCGGCGUAUAGCUCGCACACUUCCCGGUGAGCCUGCACAUUGGACUAUAGCUCGCACGCCUCCCGUUUAGUCAAUCACCUGUCCGCACGGCACCUCCUAGCCAUUAAAAGAGUGAGGUGUGGCGUCACGUGAAUGGUUAACAGAACGCACACAAUUUAAAUUAUACAACACAUUUGAGAUGUUAAAGUGGUAGCUAUUUGUUUCAAGAUGCCUUUGUUGGCUGUUAUUCGAGUGCGCCUUCUCUCAAAAUGUACACGAAAAAUACCACAGCAUGUCGGGUGCCAUUCCAUGAUAGCAUGCCAAGUUUCAUGAAUUUCAGACAUGUUUUGGAUUUUCUAGAAUUUAAAAACAAGGUAUGUCAAUGUUUUGCCGGUAAUCAACGGUGCCCUGGUGUUCGAAAUUCAUUCCCAUUUCUUGCAUGGGACCUAAGCAUGCACCCAUGGACACACAUUUGAUAUGUCAACCACUUUUUCUGCACUGGAGCAUGUGCAUGUAGUUCAAAUUUGAAUUAUGCACAUAAAAUGCCUAGAAAACCUAGUUAAUGUAUAAAAA